GCUUACCUCCACAAGGUCUUCAUUUUUCUGCUGCACAGUCCUCUGGGAAGCCACAUCUUGUACCUGCUGGGUUCCCUUAUGUUCAUGCUGUUCAGGUGAAGCCAGCAGAGCAGAAACAACCUGCUGCAGAGUAGAAUCGUGUCUCAUGUAUUUAACUUGGCAAUCCCCAACACAGGAAGCUAUGAGAGCAAGUGAAGCUGAACAAUUGGUGGAUGGGGAUUGUGCACCACCCUGUGGUAAUGAAAAGAAAUGAGAGAAGUGAUGAAUGUUCAAGGAAGCAUGCCUUCGGAUUAGAUCCACAUUUUUGAGACAGUGGAAGGGGACACGCAUCUCGCAAAUUUGUGCCUUGCUUGAAUGUCCAGAGAUCUCCGUAUGUUUGUGUUAAUAGGCUGAAGUGGUUUAAGUCUUCAGCUUUCUAAUGAAAAUUCAAUUUAUUUGGUGGCAAAGGUUCUGGACAGUGAAACCAAGGGAAAGGUUUGCCAGCAAGUGUUUUUGUAUGGUUCAAGAGGUAAUAUUCAGAUGAUUGUGAAGAUUGAGAAGAAGGGUAAGAGAAAAAGGAUCUAUUACCUUUCUCCUUUUUGGGAUAGCAAUGGAGGAUUUUUCACUCUUAUUAGAUUUUUCUCUUUUUCUGGGGCUCUGGGUCUAAUUUUAUUUUCCAGAAAGAACAGUAGACUAUAUCUUUGAACAUAUAUAUAUAUAUAUAUAUAUAUAUGCAAUGGAGGGGUGUGUAUGUAUAUGUCUGGCACAUAUAAAGAGUAAACCCUCUCAGUUUUUUUUUUUUUAAUUGAAAGAAUAUCUUUCUUUAUUGGUUCUUUUGAUGCCAUCACCAUGUAUUUCUUUCCUCGUUCUGCCCAGUUCCAGUUUUAGUGGUGGGAAAGACUAAAGAGAUGCAGAAAUUAAUAGCAAAAAGGGUUGGUUCCAACUUUGAGUCGUGGAAUGGAGAAUAGACUUUGAAGGGGCAGUAGUACUCCACUCAAUUUUGCUAGGAAUUUUUUUAAAUAAAAAUUAUAAUUAUUAUUUUUUUGUCCAUGCGGGCCAAUGCAAACUUCCCCACUUUGUUCUUUAGUGUGUAAAUAUAUAUACAUGGAGAUAGAUACUGUCUCUCCUUUGACAAAAGUGGGUUGUUGAAAAGUGUCUUUAUUUUCAUAUUUAUACCUUCAAUUUUUAAUUUUAAAUUAAAAAAUUUAUUUUUUAAUUUUAUUAUAAUUAUAAUAAUUUUUUAAAUUAAUUUUAACCAUAUUUAUAUUUAAAUUGAGUUAUAUAGGACAUUCUAUAUAAUUAUUUUUAUUGUAUAAAUAAUUUAAUCAAUUUGAAUUAAAUUUUAAUUAAAAUUUUAAACUUUUAAUUAUCUAAAUUUCUUAGUUAAAAUUUUUAUUGAAGUAUGAAAAAAUUGAUAUUUUUUACUUAAGAUUUUUAUUUAAGUAUAAAAAAAUUGAGUAUAUCAAUUAUAUGAUUAAGAAAUUUUAUAUAAUUAAGAAUUUAAAAUUUUAAUUAAAAUUUAAUUUCAGCUAAUUAAAUUAUUUAUAUGAUAAAAUAAUGAGCUGUAUAAAAUUAUAAUAAAUUUAAAAAUUAAGAUUUUUUUUUAUUCAAAAAAAAAAAAGAUUUUUUUAAUUUAAAAUUAAAAAUUUAAAUUAUAAAUAUAAAACUUUGUAAAAUUGGUGUUUUUUUUCUUAAAAUGUGAUCGCUUUAUUUUUUACUAUUUUAUUUUUUAUUAUAUAUCCAUGCUCUCUCUUUUUUUUUAGAGAGAAACUCUCUCAUUUCUCUUUAUUUUUCUAUGUUUGAGGAAUUGUUGGUGUGUUUUGCGCUCUCUAAAUAAAGACAACUUUUUCUUUUUUUAUAUAGGGAAAUUUACUUUUUAGUCCCUGAGGUUUAACGUAAUUAACACUUCUGUCCCUCUAUUUUGGCGACCCAACACUUUUGGUCAAAGAGUCAAAAGAAGAAGAAGAAGAAGAAGAAGAAGAAGAAGAAGUUGCAGAAAAAGGAGGAAGAAGAAGAAGUUGCAGAAAAAGGAGGAAGAAGAAGAAGUUGCAGAAAAAGGAGGAAGAAGAAGAAGUUGCAGAAAAAGGAGGAAGAAGAAGAAGUUGCAGAAAAAGGAGGAAGAAGAAGAAGUUGCAGAAAAAGGAGGAAGAAGAAGGUUAAUUUUGUCAAUUCACGUGUCCCAAACGGCUAUUUUGGACGGAAGGUAAGUGUUGGGUCGCCAAAAUAGAGGGACAGAAGUGUUAAUUACGUUAAACCUCAGGGACUACAAAGUAAUUUUCCCUUUUAUAUAUAUAAAAAAGUAGAUUUGGUAUUUUUCUACCUUUUUCUGGAAUUUUUGUAAACAAAUAAUUAUUGUUUUUAUUAGUUCUUAACGUAUCAAUGCUUAGAGUGAGGAUGCUUUUAUGAAUCUGCCUUCAGUUUUCUCUUAUUCUCUGUUUGUCUUUUCUUUUUCAUGCACUGUCUUCUAUAGUUGAAUUUGGAGUUUUCCUUAAUCAAUCGGAUGCAUUGAAAAAUGGAUUGUGUUGACUUAGAUAACUUUCUUCCCUUCCAACACCCUCUAUGCGUAUUGAGUUUCUUCCUUUCUCACUCAUUAGCUACCGGUGUAUCUUAGGGCUCGUUAGCCUUUUCUCUCUCUUGCUAAACAACUGAACCUCGAAGUCAAAGGGUGUCAAUGAGCUCUCUCCUCAUCUCCUUUCCUAAGCUUAGCUAAAGAUUCUCGACCAUGUGCUUAUUGUUUUAGCUGUUUUCUGAACUUCGUAAUCUCUAUGGAGCUCAAGAAUGUGUGUCGAUGACUUGGUAUUUUUCCAUCCGAUAUGAUCUCAAGAGAUAACAAUAGUAAAUUCUUUUAGAGAUUCUCAUGUUUGCCAGCUAAAGCUUCAUUGUAUCAUAGACUGACCUUAGUUUUCUUGGUCUUGGGUUUUAUCUUAGGUUUUUGAAGCAUAUAGUUUGUUGGGGUUGGAUCUUUUUUUAGCCCAAGUGCUUAAUGUAUUUAAUGAAUUAUUGGCUAUUUUAAUAUAUGAUUAUCUUUUGAUAAAAAAAUCUUUAUUACAAAAUAAAUCCCUCUUAUUAUAAGAUCUGCUCUUGGCAUUUGUUUUUUCUUAUUUUGGUGGUAGAUCUAGUGAAAUUUGGAUGGUGUUCUUACAGAAUUAUUGCUUUUUUGCUAGAGUUCCUUAGGUUGUAUUCUUUAAGGGUUGCGUAUAGGUUUAGCAGUUCACUAUUUAUUUCAAUAGAUUAAGAUUUGGAGGUAGUUGCUUACAAAAACUAGUUUCAUAACGUGUUAGAGAUGUUGUAGAGUAUGCUUUCUCUGUUGUCACUAUUAUUGGUUGAAUUGCCAACAUUCUUCCUUGACUGAGGUUGAGUUUUGUUUUUCAGUGUUAUUCUUAUUACUUAGUUUCUUAAUUGCUUAAUUUUAGGGCUCAAGGUUUGUCUGUUUUCAUCUCUUUUGACGGUUUUUAUUUUGCCGAUGUUGCUUUAAUAUGUUUUAUAUUUUUGAGUUUGAUAGUUUGAAUUGUUUUACCGUUUAUAAUUUUCACUGUUUGUUGUCGAUGGUAAAAAAGAUACUUUAGUCCAAAAAAAUUAUUUUAGUCCAAAAAUAAUGUUUUAGUCCAAAGAUGCUAUCGGAUCAUUUCUCAAGUUAAGAUUUUGCCUUUAAAUUCAAACUUUUCUUUUAUAUAUAUAUAUAUAUAUAUAUAUAUAUUUGGUGGUCCGGAGGCUUUGUAAUUUUUGGAUGUAUUAUUUUGGACUUUGUUCUUCUCUUUAUAAUGAAUUCAUGUAUUUUCAAAAUAAAUAAAAAAAUCAAUAGACAAAGGAAUAUGGUAUCCUAACCUCGUGACACACUCGCCUACACAAGUUUUAUUUAUGUGCCUCCACUCUUCCAUUGCUUACCUUUUUCUGAAAAAAUUAAUAAAAUAAAAUAAAAUAAAAAUAGCUCAACUUUCCUUUAAGGAUUCGGUUGUCUGAAAAGUGGAGGCAAAAGAAAAUAGUUGAAAGAAAAUGUAGAAUAAUUUUUUACUUUCUUCAUUUGCAACCAAAGGAGAGAAUAAAAGAUGGAUGAAAAAUGCUCCUUAUCUUUUACUAAAUAUUUUAUGUUUAUUUUGGGAAAGGAAUGGAAAGAAAAAUAAAAAGAAUAACAAAAUAUAAGUGCAUGUUAAUAAAUUUAUGAAAAUAUAAUUAUUCAUUGCAAUUUAUAUUUUUCAAAAUAAAAAAAAAUAAAUACAUUUUUAUUUGUACUUUUUUACUUUUCAUCCAUCUAAACGUAGAAACAAAAAACUAUUUUAUCUUUUCAAUUUUCUAUUUUUUUUUCUUACUAUAUGUAUUUCUAUAUAAUUCUCGCCCAAAAUUAGUUGUGCAAAUUUAAUUAUUACCAUAAUUUAACAUACAAUAAAUAUUUUAAAUUAUUGAAAUAUUAUAUGUAUUACUGUAACCAGAAAAGUGGUUAAACGUUUGAGAAUUUCGUUUUCUUUUAUUUAAAAUAAAUAAAUAAAUAAAAGGAAAACGUUUGUAACAACUACAGCAUAACUACCCAGUUAGUUAGUCUCCACCAAACGCACAUCCAACUCGGCCUAACAAAGUAACAAACACUUGAACUGCAGCCUCUUCACCUUACCAUUCCUCUCCUUUCUUUUCCUCUCCCUCUUCCCCUUUUAUUCCUUUCUUGCAAGACUCUCCAAACACCCAUUCAAGCACCCUCCAAACAAAACACUACUGACAUUCUCAAUAAUUAAUAUUCUCUGUGCCAUUUCAUUCCAAUUCUCCGCUAUGCCUUUUCUUUCCUUCCUCUUCUUUAUAAUCCUUUCUCUUCUGUCUCUUUCUUUUUCUCAAUUCCCUCCUCCCAGAGGUAAUAGUUGACGCUCCUUUUUCAUUUCUGUUCGUGAAGAUACUUUCUUUUUCUUUUUCUUAUUUUUCUGUAAAAUUUUCCAGGUACUCUAAUUAAUUGCGGCACCACAGCCCCUUCAGUAAUCGCCGGCCGCCAAUGGCUUCCGGACGCCGGUUUUAUCUCUGUAGGGACUCCCAAGAACCUCACUAUUCCUGUACUUUCUCCUAUCCUCUCUACCGUCCGAUCAUUCUCUAUGAAGAACAAUGCUCACCGCAAGUUCUGCUACGUGGUUCCGGUUUACCGUGGCGCCAAGUACAUGAUCAGGACAACGUACUUCUAUGGAGGGAUCAACGGCAAUGCUGCGCCUCCAGUGUUCGAUCAGAUUGUGGAUGGAACUUUAUGGAGUGGGGUGAAUACAACGGAGGAUUAUUCCAACGGCAUGUCGUCAUAUUAUGAAGGGAUUUUUCUGGCUCAAGGGAAGACCAUGAGUUUGUGUAUUGGGGUAAAUUCGUACACUGACUCAGACCCGUUUAUUUCCGCAUUGGAGUUCGUGGUUUUGGGGGGUUCGUUGUAUAAUUCCACGGAUUUUAAGCGAUAUGGCCUUAGCUUGGUUGCCAGGCACAGUUUUGGAUAUAAUGGAUCCAUAAUUCGGUGAGUUAAAAUAAUAGUUAAUAGAAAAUUGGAUAUUGAAGAAACGGUUUCAAUUCGUAUGCUCAGGCUUGAUAGUUUUGGCUGUUUCCAGAUACCCUGAUGAUCGCUUUGAUCGGUUUUGGGAGCCAUACGGGGACAAAGAUCUCACCGUAUCGGAAAACAUAAAUGUAUCCGUUUCCGGUAUAUGGAAUCUUCCUCCGUCGAAAGUAUUUGAAACGAAGUUGACGAGUCAAUCUGGGCCCCUGGCGUUGAGGUGGCCUCUGGCUCCCCUUCAGAAUUCCUUGUACUACAUUGCUUUAUACUUUGCAGAUGAUCGUAAAUUAUCAGUUGGGUCUGCCAGAGGGUUCAAUGUCAGCAUAAAUGGGGUAACAUAUUACAAAAAUUUGAGCGUGGCACAAGCAGGCACUGCUGUCUUUGCAACGCAGUGGCCUCUUGGCGGCCUAACAUCUGUAACUUUGACUCCUUCAGCUGCUUCUAGCUUUGCUCCAUUGAUCAAUGCUGGAGAGAUUUUGGGGGUUAUGGUGAUUGGAGGAAGAACUCUUACAAGAGAUGGUAUGGUUCCACUUAAUGUUUUAAGAUAGGUGGAGUGGAAGUUGGAAGUUCAUUUAGUAUGUCUCCUAUAAUAAAUUGUUGUAGGAUGUUCUUCCAAGUUUCACCGUAUUUCUUUGUCUGUCAUUCUCAAGGAUUGCAGUGGUUAAAUUAUAUUUCUUGUUCCAGUAAUCGCUUUGGAAAAACUGAAAAGCAGUCUCGAAAACCCUCCAUUUGACUGGAGUGGUGAUCCCUGUAUGCCUCGUCAGUAUUCAUGGACUGGAAUUACAUGCUCUGAGGGUCCCCGUAUUCGUGUGGUUACAUUGUUAGUCAAACUUAGUCAUCACUCAUGACACAGAUUUUUUUUUUUAAGUAACAGUUGUUAUUGCUUCACAAACAAUUCACUUUAACUUUCCAUCUCGUUUCCAGGAAUCUGACGAGCAUGGGCAUUUCAGGAUCAGUGUCACCAAGUAUUGCCAGAUUGACUGCAUUGACGGACAUGUAGGUUGUCUAAAUUAAAUUCAUGUAUGGAUGGAAAUUGAACCGGAAUUAAUGUAUGAUGUUAUGUUUUUUCGGACAGCUGGCUCGGAAAUAACAGUUUCUCAGGUUCAAUACCUGAUCUCAGUUCAUUAACUAUGCUGCAAACAUUGUAAGAUCCCCCCUCCCCCUUUUUUCUUCUUGUUAUUAUUAUAGUUGUUGUUGUUAUUUUGUGCUCAAACGAGAAUCCAGAUGGAAUAUAAGCACAUCACGCAGACACGCACCAUUUCAAUGGCAUUAUGGUUUCCAGAUUGAACCUAUUUCCCUUGUAGUUUUAGUGUGAUAGAAUACUCGAAACACCCUUUAGGGGGUUUAAUUAUAAUGUACCAUGCUGUAUGCGGUAAGUACAACGUGAUUGGUUUUAGUUUUAGAGUGAUAGGAUACUUUAGGUGUUUAAUUAUAUUGUAUCAUUCUGUGUGUUGUAAGUACCAUCUAACUUGUUUAUUUUUUUUUUUUAACGUCGGGGGGCAAAUAUUUUGAAUGCUGAUUGUGUGUAGUUUCUUUUGGACUUCUUAUCUGACUUUACUUCCUUCUUGAAGGCACUUGGAAAACAAUCGAUUCACUGGAAAGAUCCCCUUCUCAAUUGGAAGUAUUAAGAAUCUACAUGAACUGUAAGUCUUACAUGCACAUUGAGAGAAUAUGCAGACUUUGGGUCUCUAUUUGUCAUUGUAUAUAUUCUUUACUUGUCUCUGCUACUGGUUGCAUAGGUGUAGUAGUCAAUAUCGUCGUCUUUCGAGUCAUGUGCCAUGCAAUAAGCUUUUAAUUGUUUCCUGAUUGUAACUGUUUAUGCUAAUUAUACUGAAUCAAAGUCCUUUAGAAAUCCUAUACUAAUAAAUGAUAGCUCUAAAUUCAGGUUAUCUUAAGAGUAAGAAUGCUGGCUAAACCAUGUAAGUUAAGGAGGAAUGCCUUUUCUGUUGCCAAGAGGUUAAUCUCUUGGAGUAGGAAGUUUGUCAAAUUCAAGUUGUUAUAUGUCUAGUUUUAUCUGACAUAAGUUGGAUGCAAAACUUAUAGCCUUGUUACUAUAAAAUCCUCACCUUUUUACCAUUUGCAUUUUAAUUUACUAGUUUUAAUUUCAGCACAAUAAACUAAAUUUUUAAAAUUUUAAGAAAAUUUAUCUAAUUUUAAAAUUGAAUUUGGGGGAGUGUCUCUUGCUGAUCUGGCAUGCUUAGGUGGCAUUUAUUAUUAAAGGGUGUAACUUACAUGUUACAUCAUUUAAAAUAUAAAAAAUUUAUCUCUCUCUCUCUCUCUCUCUCUCUCACCAUUCCUCCUCCUCAUCUCUCUCUUCUCUCCCCCCCUCCCCCCCUCUUUCACACACAAAAGGUUAUGGUUUUUUUUAGUACAAAAGGGAGAUAAAGACCACAAACAAAUUGAACCAUUAUGUGUGUGAUCUUUUUUGAAAUGUGACCGUAAUAAUUAAGUUUGUUGUUGGUUUUUCCCCCCUCUAUACCAAAAAAGAUUGAUAGCUUUAUGUAGCUUUGUGCGUAUGUGUGUGUGAGAGAGAGAGAGAGGGAGAGGGGAGGGAGGGAGGUAAAAGCUUUUUUUUUUUCUUUUGUAAGUGAUAUGGCGUAUGUGGGUUCCACUAUUUAAUAAUAAACAAACUCCACCUAGGCAAGGCAUGCUACAUUCUUAGAAUAUACUUCCUCUAAAUUAAUUCAAAAUUGGAUAAUAUUCCUUCGGAUUUUAAAAAAUUGGCCUGUUGUGCCAAAGUUAAUACUAUUAGAUUAAAAUGCAAGAAGUUGAAAAGAUGAGAAUUUUUUUUUGGUAAUUUGGCCGAAAAUAUAUGGAUUACACCUUUUGUCUCUGCCAUAUCUUAUGAUUCCUUUUAUGGUUAAGUCAAUUCAGUCAUGAAAAGGCGUUGCAUUUGUUUUCUAACAUGAUUUAGGACCUCUUUCAUAAGCUUUGUCAACUUUGCAGCAUCCUCAAAUCUAGGUGAAAAUGAAAUAAUGAAUUAUAUGAUCAAAACUUGAUCAUUGGCUCUGACCAAUGGAACUAUUCACAGUUAGCUAGUGCAAACUUACAUACCAUAACAUGCACUGUGGUUCUAAAACCAACUUUAAAAUGUUUCUAUGAUUGAUAAAGCAUUGGAAAUGAUGUUGAAACCUGAAAGCUUUCACUAUUUUUGAGAAGGUGUUCAUUGUGUCAAAAUCAAGCUGACCAGUUAUGGGAAAUAUAUAUACUGUACUUCUAAUAAAUUUCAUGCCCAGUUGUAGACCUAAUUUCAGUUCAGGCCUAAAAUUGAGUACUGGAAAAACAUUAGAGUUAUUAAGUGGAGAUAAGAUGGACCCUUAGAUGUUAAGAGAGAAUAACAAGCAAUACCCUGAAAGCAUACAAAGAAGCAAUACUGGUAGCAAGUUAACAAAUUAUUGAUCUUCAACUAAAUCUUAGCCUGAUCUUAGACUUUUGAAUUUGAGCAAGUCAACUCUUUGAAGAAAUAUUGUCUUGGGUUCAGUUAUUGCAUUUUUGUUUUCUCCAUGACUACGAUAACCUACAUGGAAACCAUAUCAUUGUUUUUUUUUUAAAAAAAAAAGAAAUUAUCAGCUAAAGAUGAAUUUCUUGCACCAUAUUUAUUUUGGAGUAGGGGGUAAAGGAUUUGUGACAUAUAAGUGCCACGUAGGUUGCUAUUUCAGGGAAUAAUUGAGAUGCAUGGCAGCAUGCUUUCUUUGAGUUGGUAUAAUACCAAUUGCUGGCUUGAGACAUACCCGUGCCAGUGCAAAUUGAAACCAUUUUUUUUCUUGCAAAAUCUUUGGAUCAAAAUGCCCAUAUUGCAUGGAAUUUUGACUGAUGUUUGAGUAGUUCAAUUAUGCAUGAUUUAGUUCCCAUUUGAUGGCUACCCAAUUUCCAUGAUUGGACCCAUGCCCCAGAUCUAUUGCAUAUGGUUUCUUGCCUAUAUGAGAAAGAAUGAUCUCAGCUAAAAUUAUGCUUUGCUCGUAAAGCCAUCAUAGUUUUGUAGCGAAAACUGCAGGCUUUCCAUGUGGUCUGCAUUUGUUGUUGGUGUGAAUUGGAAGGAUACUACUAUUGAAGCAUUUCAUUGUCCUUUCCAUUUUUAUCUGGUUGACUGGUUUGGUCAAGUAUGGAAAUUAAGUAUGCGUUGCUCUUUGCUCUUUUAUAAGCUUUCAGUCAUUUAGCUGCUGUACUUCAAUUAUUCUGCUGACUUGUUUUCUCUUUCUUCUGAAGAUGCCUUUUUUUUUGGAAUGCUGUGAUAAAAAUACAUUGAAUAACAGCAAAGUCACACAUUUAUUUUUGUGUGAUUUCCUUACGUAAUUUUUUUAUAGGAUGUGUAAUAUGUUCAGCUUUCAUUCAUUGUACCUGACUUGGUUCUUUCAUUUGUACAGAUUUUUACAAAACAAUUAUCUGACUGGUGAAAUUCCAAACAACCUUACUGGAAAACCUGGGCUGGAUCUUAGGUAAAAUUUUGUUCUUGCUACGUGAUUUGUCAGUUGGUAUUAAUCUAUAAGCAGUAUAACUUGCCAAUUUUAUUUGAAUAAUUAAAUUGUUCUCAAUGUUAGGACCUCUCCUGGAAAUCAGUUAUCAUCACCAGCACCUUCUUGAGCAAACAAAAUCAAUGCAUCCAAAGCAAAGUUGACCAGGAUGCAUUUAUCAUCAAACUGGAUUUCAAUCAUAACGUGUUAAUAUAUUUUGUCUAUAAAUCUGAGAGUUUUGAAAAUUUUAAGCUGUAAGUUUUGCGGCAACAACUAUCUCUGGUUUGAGGUUCACCUUAUAGAAGCUCCUCGUUCAAGUUGGGGAUGCACAACUGUGUACUUGGAAGUGGUGUACAUAUCAAUUCAAUCUGAUUCUUUUUAUCUUUUAACACAGCAUAGCUGAAUGAUGCUAUCAACCUUUCUGUAAAUACAAGUCCAUAUAUCAUUUGCUGUGGUUUUAAUUUCGUGUAAUUUAGUUGCAGUUGCUAUAUAACGAUGACCCCAUACAUUCUAUUUGUUGCUAGGCCACGAGGAAUCUUUUUCUUGUUCUUUUUCUUUUUCCUCUCUUGAUGCCAUCAUCUUCAUCAUCGUCAAUUUUUAUUUAUUUUUUGUUAUUGUUUAUAGCUACUAUGGAUUUUGAUAUCAGUGGGUGAAAUCUUUCAUCAAGUUCCUUCCUAUAUGCCAGUGUUCAAUUUAAUGGGUUGUGAAGUUUCCUUUGUUUACAAAGUAAGCAAACAAUAACAGCUCAUAGAUAUUCAAUAAUGGGUAGGCAGAAUUACGCCACAUGAUCCUCCAUUUAGUUUCAAUUCAAGACCAUUGAUCAGAUUCCUCUGGCCGAUCCUCACAUGUGGGCAUGUGCCCUGAUCACUCACCUGCUAGUUCUGAUCCACAAGUCAUUCUACUCACAGAUAGUUCUGAAUACCCAAAGAAGAAGCUAAAAUUAAUUUUUAAUUUCAUUUAAGGCCCUUGUGCUGGCCUCUGCUUAGUAUAUUUUUGGAAAGAAGGAAACUGGUUGUCUUAUCCCCCAAAAGAGGGGAAAAAAGGGAGAGCAACAGCUAAAAUCAACAUAUUUGGUCAAUUACUUAUGCAAUUUCAUCACAUUUACAUUAUAAUUUACCAGAUCCAUCGUAAUUAACAAUGAGCUAAACAUAGAAACAGAUAGGCAAAGUCUGAAAUUGAAAUGAAAUGAAAGAACUGAUAAGAGAAAUCAACAUAUUAGACACAAUCCUAUAGAACAGAGACAAGUUUGGGCUACCCACAUUCUCCACAUCACCUUUCUAAUCUCCCCUUCUUAAGGGGAAACAAAGGUGGCAAGGAACUGCUCUUCACGUGUGUGCAAAUAGGCACAUUUACCAUUGGCCUUAUCCUAAUAGUGGUUGAUCUUGUUCUCUCCAAUCCUUUCUUCACCCUUUUCCCUUGCUUUCCAGAGCCAGCCUUCCCUUCUUCUGUGGUAACGAUAUCGGCUAGGGAGCUGGAAGAAGAUGAUGUUGAGGAGGAAGAUGAUGAUGGUGAUAGAUAAGGACGUUGCUUCUUUAACCUCAGCAGUUCUUUCCAGAGAACAGUACAUUUUGGAGGCCUUGGAGAUGGGUCAUCAUCAAGAUACCAAUUUAUCCUAGGCUCCUCCUUGUUCACCUCCUCCUCUUCUUCUUCUUCUUCUUCUUCUUCCUCCUCCUCAUUCUCUUUACCCUUGAGACUGAUUUUAUGGAGUUUAUCAGACUGCUGCAUUUGCCAGAAGGGAAGUAACUUCCCUUCAAAAAAAAGCUCGUCUGCAGUUAACAUGGUAUGGCUACUCAUGUUGCUUGAGAGAAACUCAAAUUCUGCAUUUCUUGCCUUUUCUCUUUCCAUUUUUUGGUCUUGUGGGUUUGGAGUAAUGGAAAUGAAGUUGUUUUCAUCAAGAAAUUCUGCAGAGAAAGAAAUUCGAGGACUAGAAGUUUGAUCCAUGGAUGCUUGAACCGUUUCUAGGGAGACCAUUUUUUUUUUUUUCCUUUCCUUUUUCUUAGAAGAAGAAGAAGAAGAAUUUAAGAGAGUUUAAUUGUGAAGUUGGCGUGGUAGUAAGAGGUGCAUGGGAUUUGUGAUAUAUAAGGGGAAGAGGAUGCUUAUUAGGAGUAAUUGUUACUGUUAGUAAUAAUUUUUAGAGGGUGAGAUUAUAAAAAAUGAUUGUGGUCUGUUGAACUCCCAGCAACUGAGCUUAGGAUUAUGGGGACAUCACAAUCACAUCCACUCCUUCCAAACUAAACACUAGAGCUUCAUUCAUUUACUUUUUCACCUUUUUUUUUUAAACAAUACUACAUUUUCAAAUAUAUAUUAAAUUUUAUGAUCUAUAUUAAUAUUUAUAAUAAGUUUUUUAACCUGCGAUAGGUUUUGCUUAAACCUAAUAUCAAUGGAUAAUAAUGAAGUCGGAUCAGUCAAAGAUAAGAUUGACUCCAGGAAGGAUUUUUUUUUUUUUUCAUAACUUCAAGCGCAUGUGGAUGUGGUCACAUGCGAGUAAUUUUUUGCCAUGUGACAGCAGAAUCAAGGAUGUAUAAGAUACAAGUGAAUGACCAAGUUAACCUUCUAAAAGUUUGGCCUCAGGAGGUAGGACAUGCAAUUUUCCAUUCAAUUCAAGGGCAUUAUUGACCUAUGGAGAAAUAUGGGUCAAUGGCCAAUGCUUAAAAAGCUUCCUGGUCUAAUUAAAUACAGACAACUAGUUAUAAACAUAAGAGUAAUCUUUUUUGUUAUUAUAUUAAUUUUGAUUUUUGAUUAAUUUCAAUAUUGUAUUAUUUGAAGCAAUAAUCUAUCUGUAGCCUUGCCUUGGUUGUAUUAUUGAGGGAGACAACAAUGUUUAAGCUUUAACAGACCCAAUAAACAACAGACCAAACAUGUGAUAAACAAGCUAAUUUUACAUUAUUUACUGCUUUUUAGCUUCUGGAAGUAGAUGUCUUAAUGAGCUUUUAUGAUCUUAAUUCUGGAUUUUUUUACUGAAUCAAUCAACUGUAAUGUCACAAUCAAAUCUUUCUAAAAGAAGUUGAACUUACUAUUUCUGUCACUCAAUCACUAAAUUCAUCACAUAAAUAUAAUUAAUCAAAAUAUAUUAUAUAUUUUGCUUUCGUUUCAUAACUUUUAUUCAUUUUUAUAAUAUUUUAAAAUUAUUAUUCAUUAUCUUUUUUAUAUAUAAUAACAUAUAAAUUAACUAUUAUAAUUUUAUUUAAUUUUAUUUUUAAAAAGUUUCUCAAAAGUUAUUGAAUAUUUAAUAAAAUUUAAUAUUUUUAAAAUAGAUAAAAAUUAUGAAAUAGAAAAGUAUAUUAAUUUAAGUUUUUUUAAGCUAUUAUAUAUUAAUUUGAAUUUUUUGAGAUUAAAUGAAGAGAAAACGAAUUCCCUUCUCUUUAAAAAAUAAAAUACUGCAUAAUUUAUUUAUAUUUAGUAAAAUAUAAUAAUAAUAAUAAUAAUAAUAAUAAGAAACGCUCUCAAUCUCAUAACCAUAAGUUUUUUUUUUUAAAUGUUAAAUUAUAAAUCACUUUUAUUUUUUAAAACAAUAGAUUAUAAGUUAAGAAUAAUAUUAUAAGAUGAGAGAAAAAAAAUAGAGAAAAGAAUAGAAAAGGAGAGCAAGGGCUAGGAUCGUUAGAAGGGAAGGCCGUUGGUUUUCGAUUGUUUUUGGGCUUUUUCUCUAUUUUUCUUAUUUUUGUUUUCUCUUUACAUCUCUUCUAAUUUGUUAAAAAAUUUUUUUUCUGCCUUCAAAUAGGGAUCACUUUCAUUUUCUCUAAUCUAUCCACUUUAGAAAUAGUCGACGGUUUUUCUUUUUUAAUUUGCUUUGAUUUUUCUUUUAUAAAUUUUAUUGUUCAUCACGAGAUUAUUUUUUAAAUCUGAAUAAAGCCAAUGAUUUUACUUUUACCAGUACAAAGUACUUCCUUUGUUGAUAGUCGCUGGAAUUUCUGAAACCGCAUUGAUGCAUCUGGUGAUUACGUUUUCUUUGGCCUUGAUAAUAGGUGUCUUCUUUCUUGUCUUGAGUCGUUACUCGUCUAGUCGAAUCCCUUUCGUCUUAAAUCUGAUUGCAUACAAAAUUAUUUUUUGUACUUUUUUAUCUUUUUUUCAUAUUGCCUCAUUUUUCAUUUAAAUUUAGUGUUGAUGAUAGUGAUUUCUUUUUUCUUUCGAUUUGGUCGAUAUGUCAAACAAUGAGACGGCGGUAGAUAUUAAAUUCUUGUGCUGAUUUGAUCUUAUUUGAAUUUGAGUCAUAGAUUUUAAAUUUAAGUUUUUGAGUAUGAAAUUUGUAUACCAAAUUUUAUUUUAUUUUAUUAAAAUUAUUUUACUUAUUCUUUUACAUUUUGUGGUUGAACUCUAAUCUUUUUGUAUUAGUAGACUUUGGUAAAUAGAAUGGUAUUGUAUUAUUAAAAAAAUAUACAAGUUGAAGAAUAAAUUUUUUGUUUAAAAAUAAUUGAAUAAUAUUUAAUUUGUAAUAGUGUAAUAUGUAUUAAGGAUACAUUAUAUCAGAAAAUUCUAGAUGUUUUGACAAAUUAAAAGUGAUUGACAAUUAAUAUAGUAAAUUAAAAUUUAAAUCUCUAUUCCCCCAGUCCCCUCUUUACAAAUAGGAAAAAGAAGUGACUCUGUAGGUCAUUAUAAAGAUUUUUUUUUCAAAAAAAAAAAAAACAACUCCAAAGGCAAAGCAAGCCAAGUGGGUCAUAUGUCUGUGAAAAAUAAUAAUAAUAAAAUUAAUUAAUUAAAAUGCAUGGUUUUUAGUCUGUUUUCAUGCAAAGCCUAGCUGUUAACAUCACCAAACACCUUGUUUUUAGAUGUUAUUUCAUAUAAAUCUUCCCUCUUUUUUUUCAUGUAAUUUAAUUAAUAUAUAGUUGUUGAAUUGUUUUGACUUUGACCAAACUUAGAAUAUGUGCCAACACUUAAUUAUUAUUACUUUUUAAUUUAUAAUCACUCAUCUUUUUAAUCAAUUUUUGUUUUCUUCAGCUGAUCUUAAAAGACUUUUCAUGCAUUCAAAUAAAUAGUUUUUAAUUUUUUUAGUAAAAUAAACCUUUUUAGUUUUUAAUCGGAUAAGGAAGUAAUCAAUAGGACCUGAAAGUGAUGCCAUCCAAGAUGUGUACCCUCAAGUCUCCUAUAUGGUUUAUCCUGAGACACGUGGAUAAGAGAAGUGAAGAGAGGAGAGGACCACGAAGAUUGGUGGGAGGGAGGAGAGAUCUAUGACAUGUGAGCUGUCUCUGCAAAAAUGUGAAACUUUGUAUUAAAUGACAAGUGGUUAAUCCAAAGUUUGAUGUUAACAUUAGAUUUGAACUCAGUUCCAAUGCCACAGCUUCUGUCUCUAUCACUGUGCUGCUUCAGGUGCAGCUGCAUGCCCCGCGCGAAAACUUAGGCUACUUGUUUCCAAUUUUCAUCACUACCUAUACUUCAAUUUCAAUUUCAAUUUCAAUUUCAAUUUUUACCUUUUUUUUAUAUUUAUAUUUUAAUUUUAAAAUUUUAGCCAAUAAAAUUUGAGAUUUUUUUAUUUAAUAAAUUUAUUUAAAAAAGAAAAAGCUAAUGAAAAGAAAAAAACUUAAAAUAAGUAGGAUGAAAAGGUAGCAACUAACUAAUCACAAUCGUCCAAGAUGUAGAUUGAAAAUUAUUGUCCAAUGAGUUUAAUUCAAUUUUGAAAAUUGAAAACGUUAAAAAGAGAUAAUUCAUCCCCGUUUCUUCAUGUCUGUAAAGAUCCAUCAGUAAUGUGAUUUUUUUAAAGAGAAGAUUUUUGACAACUUUAAAAAUGACAAAAUAGAAAAACAAACAGAUAUUUUUUAUUUAGAUAUGAUCUGAACAAUCAAUUGAAUGUUAGCCAAGAAAAGGUAAACAGAUAUUUAUCAAUGUUCCUCAUUUUUAACAUGUUCAUGUAUAAAUCAAUCGCACGAACCUAAUUAAUUUCACCGCCAAAAAUAUCAAGUAUAAUUUUUUUAUUAUUUUUAUGUACACCAAUCGAUAACCAUUUAUUAAUAAAAGGAAAAUACAUGCUACUGAUGGGUAGGGACCCAUGAGAGUUGGGGUGGGGCAUGCGUACCAUAUCAAGGCCAAAGGAAAUAUCGUGGUCUGAAAAUAGAUGUGGACGGAUGUCCUAGCCGUAUUAUCUAUAUCACCAAAAGGUACUUGUACCAUCGAAUUCAUUGUAAUUUGUAACCAUACACGUGGACCUAUAGGACAGAUAAGGAUAUGGAGGCCGUUUGAUUUCUUAUACCAAUUAAAUUUGUAUUAGUGUUUCCAUUUUAAAAAAUUUGAAAUCGAGCUGAAAUGUUUAUUUCUAUCUUGAUUUUAAUCGAAGCUGGUUUAAAUUUAUUUUAAUAAAAUUUUUAUGAUGGAUCAAAACAAUAUAUAUGUUUUAAAAAAAUAUUAUAGUUAAAUUAAUUUUACUGUGUAAUGUUUUAAAAAAAUUAUUUAUCUAAAUAUAUAGUCAAAUAAGUUAUAUUAUAUAUGUUUUAAAUGAGUAAUUACUGAGUUAGAGAAAAUACUUUUUUUUUUGAAUUGAAAAUUAAAAUUUAGAGAAAUAAAAUUUAAAACUUUUCAGAUUUAUUUAGAAAUACUUAUUAAUAGGUUAAACAUAUGAGUAUAGAAAAAAUAUUAAUUUAUCAAAGUCAAUAAAAAUAAAAUUUAAUAUUUAUUUAGAGUAUAAUAAAUGAGAAUUUAAUAAAUUAAUGAAAGAAAAUUUUAUUUCCAAAUAGUCAAUAAUAAAAUUUGUAUAUAGUUAUAAUGAAAAUUUUGAAUAUAUGAGAGCAAGAUUUUAUUUUUUAGUGAGAAUAAUAUUAAAAAUAAUAAAUAUAUAUAAUUAAAAUUACGGGGGCUUUGCCCCACUUUAAAUCUACCCCUAUUUCAAUUUACCUAUCUCUUUGAUAAUUUUAAAAUAAUAUUAAUUAUUAAUUUUCUAAAAUUUAGAGUAAAAAAAAGAUUUUUGAGUCUGUAAACUUAAUUUGGGUUAUGUUAUCUUUUAUUAUUAUUAUUAUUAUUAUUUUAUUACGGUUUAGUGAUGGAUAAACACCACUUUAUUAUAAUGCCAUAUAUUUUUAUCACGCAAAAUUAUAUGUACGGGUGUAUCUGUCUGUCCAUUCUCGUCAAACAUCUAUUUAAUUUUUUUGAUGCGCGUACUGAUAUGACCAUAGUACAGGUGGACUUACUCUUUUUACUCUCUAUUAAAUCAAACAAACUAGACUCUUUUCAAGUAGGUCUGAACUCUUGAUCAGUCUAGUAUGCUCUUGCUGCAAAUUGAAUAAUGUGUUGAUAGAUCAGUUUGAUUUGAGAGCUUUAAUGAAUUUUGAGUCUAUCUCUUUUUUGAAGGGCUCGACUUCAAUCUGAAUGUCAGAAACUCAUCGGUCAUCGAUUAUUAUUUUUAUAUAUACUCUUAUUAAUUUUUAAAUUAUUUUAUAUUAAUAUAAACAAAUAUAAUUAUUUAAAGGAUAUUUUAGAUAAAUUAUUUUUAAAAAAAAUAAAAUUAUUUUUUUGAAAGCAAGUAUUAAUAAAAUUCCAUUAAACAAAGUCAAACAAAGAGAUACAUCAUCUCAAAUAGAGAGACGAUUAUACCUGAUAAUUUCUCUAGUCAAAGUAUAAAUAGUUAGAGUAGCAUUACGACGAAUCCAUCUACCAGAAAUAUCAGUUAUAGAGUCUAAUAAAAAUUUACAAUCAUUCAAAAUCAAAUCACUGCGUAAAAUAAUUUGGCAAAAACACUCCUCAAGUGCCUGUCUAAACCCCUGCAUAAGAUAAUUUGGCAAAGAUACUAUUUUUUUCUCAUAUCUCGAGCAUAAAUCAUUAAAAUCUCAAGAGGAUCGAAGAAGCCGGCAAAAACAAAUAUUCGUUUGGAAGAGGAGCUCAAGAUUGAAGCUGCCUCUGUAAUUUUUAUAUAUAUAUGUAUUCCUUUCACUACUGCAAUUUACAUAUAUAUAUAUACAGAGUCAUAGUCCUAAGUAAAGAAGGAGUGUGUGUUAACAAUUAGUUAAAAGAACUAUUCUAACGGGAUUUUACAGGAUUUUACAGAUAUAGUCGGGAUUUUACAGGAUUUUGCAGAUAUAGUCAAAUGGCAUAUCACAUAUCCUUUAUACCCCCUCCUCAAGCUGGAGGUGAUGAAAAAUCAACCAAUCCAAGCUUGGAAACAAAAUCAUGAUAAGAAUGGGAAGGUAAAGUCUUGGUGAACAUGCCAGCCAACUGCAGGGAUGAAGGAAGGUAUGGUGUGUGAAUAAGACCAGCUUGUAUUUGAUUCCGAACCACAUGACAAUCAAUGUCAAUAUGCUUGGUGCGUUCAUGAAACACAGGAUUGGCAGCUAUAUGAAUAGCAGCCUUAUUAUCACAAUGAAGUGGUAUAGGUUUAACAACAGAAAUAUGAAAAUCUGUCAAAAGAGAAGUUAACCAUUGAAGCUCGCAAACGGUAGUAGCCAUAGCUCGAUACUCAGAUUCAGCAGAAGAUCGACUAACUGUAGAUUGCUUCUUAGUCUUCCAAGAAACCAAAGAGGUGCCAAGAAAAAUACAAUAUCCUGUGAUGGAACGACGAGAAUCUGUACAGGUCGCCCAAUCGGCAUCAGAAAAUGCCCGAAUUUUGAGAUCAUUGGUAGCUGGUAAAAAUAAGCCAAUAAAACUUGUACCCUUCAAGUACUUAACCACAGUAAGAGCAGCCUUGAGAUGCAUAGCGCGUGGAGCUUGCAUGAAUUGGCUAAGUUGCUGAACUGCAUAACUAAUAUCAGGGCGUGUCAUGGACAAAUAAAGUAAGCGACCAACAAGUCGUCUAUAACUCUCAACAUCUUGCAAUGGCUGUCCCAUGUCCGCCGUUAAUUUAACACCUUGGAUAUAAGGACUGCCUGCAACCUUGGCAUCUUGCAAACCAGUAUCAGAAAUAAUAUCAGUGAUGAACUUAUGUUGAGUUAACAUCAUGCCAGUAUCAGUGCGUGCGACUUCAAUGCCCAAAAAAUACUUGACAUCACCGAGAUCCUUAAUGGUGAAUUUCUUAUCCAAAUAAUGCCUCAAGGAAGAAAUUAGUGCAGCAGAUGGACUAGCAAUCAAACAAUCAUCAACAUAAACCAAGAGAGCAAUAAAAGUAUCUCCGGUACCUUUCGUAAAAAGACAAUGAUCAAAAGAAGACUGUUGAAACCCCUGGGACAGCAAACUUGCGGUUAAUUCUUUAUUCCAUUGUCGGCCAGCUUGCUUCAACCCGUAAAGUGAUCGUUGCAACUUACAAACUUGCCCGACUUCAGCUUUGUCAUAACCAGGAGGAACUUGCAUAUAAAUGUCCUCAUCAAGAAAGCCAUGCAAGUAUGCAUUAUUAAUAUUUAAUUGCUUAACGUGCCAUGAAUAUGCAGCAGCCACAGUCAAGAAAACACGCACAGUAACAAGUUUGGCCACCGGAGAAAAUGUUUGAUUAUAAUCUAGACCCAAUAACUGAUUGUACCCCUUGGCAACGAGUCUAGCUUUGUAGCGGUCUAUGCUUCCAUCUGCAUGAUAUUUAACCCUGUACACCCACUUACAACCAACAGGUUUAGUAUUAGGAGGCAAAGCAGUUAAUAUCCAAGUAUUAUUUUUUUCUAAAGCAUCCAAUUCAGUACGCAUAGCAUUCACCCAAUUCAAAUUAUUUUUAGCAUCAUUAUAAUUGCAAGGCUCUUUAACUUUAGAUAGAUUGGCAAUAAAAGUGACGUGGGAAGAGGAAAAAUUUAUGCGGGAAGUGGAAGAAGUAUUGGUAACAUAAUCAUCGAACCAGGCAGGAGGUUUCUUUGACCUUGUACUGCGCCGAACCUGUGAUGGAGGUGCAGGAACUAUUUGCAAAGCUGUCUCACCUUCCAAAGAAAUGGGACCGUCAUUACCCGAAGGAACAUUGGUGUCAGUAACUGUGGAUUCUGUACUAAGUGCAGGGGCAGAGUCGACAAUUUGAAUAUCAGUGGCGGAUGAUGGUGGUGUAUAAUCAGUAUCAGAAAUGCAAGUAGGCAAAACAAAAUUUGUGGCAUCUGUAGGUUGAUCAAAAUGAAAAGGAAAAAUAUUUUCCAUAAAAAUAACAUCACGUGAAGAAAUAAUGGUUUUGGUGGUGAGACAAAAUAACUUAUAUGCCUUUUGGUUUUGAGCAUAUCCUAACAAGACACAUGGAAAAGCUCUUGGAGCAAAUUUUGUUUUAUGAGGUACAGUAUUUGUAGCAUAACAAAGGCAUCCUAUGGUUCGAAAAUACCCAUAAUUAACCUGUUUACCAUGCAAUCUUUCAUAGGGAGUCUUCCAUUGCAAAUUUUCGGACGGCAAACGGUUAGUGAUAUGAGUUGCUGCUAACAAUAAUUCAGACCAAAAAUGAGGUGGAAGCUUAGAUUGAAAAAACAAGGUUCUAGCUAUGUUUAAUAAGGUGCGGUGUUUCCGCUCUACUACCCCGUUUUGUUGUGGAGUAUAAGGACAAGUACGUUGAUGCAAAGUGCCUUGUUCCUGUAGAAAAGAACUAUAUGCAGAAUUGACAAACUCAGUCCCAUUAUCAGUACGCAUAAUCUUGAUCUUCUUGUCAUAAUGUGUGAGCACAUAACAAAAAUAAGACUUCAAAGCAAUCAACACCUAAGCUUUUGUUUUUAACAUAUAUGUCCAGCAAAACCGACUAUAAUCAUCAACAAUAGUGAGCAUGUAAACAGCAUUUGUAACUGAUGUCAACUUAUACGGUCCCCAUAAAUCAACAUGGAUAAGAUCAAACACAUCUGUAGUAGAAAUAGAACUAGUAGGAAAUGAUAAUCUAGUUUGUUUUGCAACUGGACAUACAGGACACAUCAGCUCAGUGUAAUCACAUUUAACUACUCCAUCCACAUGCUUCAAUCUCUUAAAAGAAACGUGUCCUAGCCUUGAAUGCCAAAGCAUUGCCAAAUGUUUAUUAUGCUCAAAACAACGAUUAACAGAAUUACAAUUACUAACUCUAUUAAAAGAGUCUGCUGUCAAAUAAUAAAGAUCGUCNNNNNNNNNNNNNNNNNNNNNNNNNNNNNNNNNNNNNNNNNNNNNNNNNNNNNNNNNNNNNNNNNNNNNNNNNNNNNNNNNNNNNNNNNNNNNNNNNNNNNNNNNNNNNNNNNNNNNNNNNNNNNNNNNNNNNNNNNNNNNNNNNNNNNNNNNNNNNNNNNNNNNNNNNNNNNNNNNNNNNNNNNNNNNNNNNNNNNNNNNNNNNNNNNNNNNNNNNNNNNNNNNNNNNNNNNNNNNNNNNNNNNNNNNNNNNNNNNNNNNNNNNNNNNNNNNNNNNNNNNNNNNNNNNNNNNNNNNNNNNNNNNNNNNNNNNNNNNNNNNNNNNNNNNNNNNNNNNNNNNNNNNNNNNNNNNNNNNNNNNNNNNNNNNNNNNNNNNNNNNNNNNNNNNNNNNNNNNNNNNNNNNNNNNNNNNNNNNNNNNNNNNNNNNNNNNNNNNNNNNNNNNNNNNNNNNNNNNNNNNNNNNNNNNNNNNNNNNNNNNNNNNNNNNNNNNNNNNNNNNNNNNNNNNNNNNNNNNNNNNNNNNNNNNNNNNNNNNNNNNNNNNNNNNNNNNNNNNNNNNNNNNNNNNNNNNNNNNNNNNNNNNNNNNNNNNNNNNNNNNNNNNNNNNNNNNNNNNNNNNNNNNNNNNNNNNNNNNNNNNNNNNNNNNNNNNNNNNNNNNNNNNNNNNNNNNNNNNNNNNNNNNNNNNNNNNNNNNNNNNNNNNNNNNNNNNNNNNNNNNNNNNNNNNNNNNNNNNNNNNNNNNNNNNNNNNNNNNNNNNNNNNNNNNNNNNNNNNNNNNNNNNNNNNNNNNNNNNNNNNNNNNNNNNNNNNNNNNNNNNNNNNNNNNNNNNNNNNNNNNNNNNNNNNNNNNNNNNNNNNNNNNNNNNNNNNNNNNNNNNNNNNNNNNNNNNNNNNNNNNNNNNNNNNNNNNNNNNNNNNNNNNNNNNNNNNNNNNNNNNNNNNNNNNNNNNNNNNNNNNNNNNNNNNNNNNNNNNNNNNNNNNNNNNNNNNNNNNNNNNNNNNNNNNNNNNNNNNNNNNNNNNNNNNNNNNNNNNNNNNNNNNNNNNNNNNNNNNNNNNNNNNNNNNNNNNNNNNNNNNNNNNNNNNNNNNNNNNNNNNNNNNNNNNNNNNNNNNNNNNNNNNNNNNNNNNNNNNNNNNNNNNNNNNNNNNNNNNNNNNNNNNNNNNNNNNNNNNNNNNNNNNNNNNNNNNNNNNNNNNNNNNNNNNNNNNNNNNNNNNNNNNNNNNNNNNNNNNNNNNNNNNNNNNNNNNNNNNNNNNNNNNNNNNNNNNNNNNNNNNNNNNNNNNNNNNNNNNNNNNNNNNNNNNNNNNNNNNNNNNNNNNNNNNNNNNNNNNNNNNNNNNNNNNNNNNNNNNNNNNNNNNNNNNNNNNNNNNNNNNNNNNNNNNNNNNNNNNNNNNNNNNNNNNNNNNNNNNNNNNNNNNNNNNNNNNNNNNNNNNNNNNNNNNNNNNNNNNNNNNNNNNNNNNNNNNNNNNNNNNNNNNNNNNNNNNNNNNNNNNNNNNNNNNNNNNNNNNNNNNNNNNNNNNNNNNNNNNNNNNNNNNNNNNNNNNNNNNNNNNNNNNNNNNNNNNNNNNNNNNNNNNNNNNNNNNNNNNNNNNNNNNNNNNNNNNNNNNNNNNNNNNNNNNNNNNNNNNNNNNNNNNNNNNNNNNNNNNNNNNNNNNNNNNNNNNNNNNNNNNNNNNNNNNNNNNNNNNNNNNNNNNNNNNNNNNNNNNNNNNNNNNNNNNNNNNNNNNNNNNNNNNNNNNNNNNNNNNNNNNNNNNNNNNNNNNNNNNNNNNNNNNNNNNNNNCCUUUCACUACUGCAAUUUACAUAUAUAUAUAUACAGAGUCAUAGUCCUAAGUAAAGAAGGAGUGUGUGUUAACAAUUAGUUAAAAGAACUAUUCUAACGGGAUUUUACAGGAUUUUACAGAUAUAGUCGGGAUUUUACAGGAUUUUGCAGAUAUAGUCAAAUGGCAUAUCACAUAUCCUUUAUAAAAUCUCUCGAACAAAGUCACGAAAGAGAGUUUCUACGUGAUAAAGCUCGAAUAAGGUUUCAAGACUGACGUCGUCGUUGCGAUUCCGGAAACCCAUUAUAACUAGUAAACCUCAAUUGAAAAUUACCUUCCGAAACAACCGAAUCAAUAAAAUUUGAAAAAAAACCAACCACAGAAACAGACUUAUAAUUCUCCCACAUUAACGAAAGGUCUCCUCCAAAUUAUUGUCUAUUGACUGAGAAGCAAUCAUCACUUACGAUUGUGGGGUGGAAUCUGAGGGUCUAGCUUAUGAUUGUGGGUGAAAUAUGGGAGCUCUUAAGAGAGACAACAACAUUUUCUUUUUCAUCAAUAGUCAAUUGAUGCAGAUCGUCUUCCAUGGGGAAGGCGAGACCAUCGAACCAUAAAAAGACCACAGAGAAAAAUUUGCAUCGAAAAAAAAAAUAUAAAACUUAUUUAGUAUAUUUAUUUGGGUGCAUAAAAAAAUAAAAUUAUUAAUUAGUAAUAUUUAUUUGAGUGCAUAAAAAAUUUGAGAAGAAGGGCUCUAAGCUAAAUGGAUUACAAUUUAAUGCAUCAUUACAAGCAUUUGUUUCAUUAAAGGUUGAAGUAGUUCAACAUAAAUUUUCUGUCUGUCUGAAAAGCUAUAAUUUUUUCAUCCGCUCAAAUUAUCUUUUUUUUUUGUUGAGAUAAUUAUUUAUUAACUUUAAUAUUUAUCAGAUAAAAUUUAUUAAUUUUAAAUAAUACAAUAAUAUAAAAUGAUUAUAUAUUAGAUAAAAUAAUAAAUUUAUUAUUAUAAUAAUUAUAUUUAUUAAUUUAAGACGUAAAAGGUACUUGGGUUGUACCUAUAAAUUGCCAAUUGGAUAUACCUAACAUAUUUCACAUUUAAUUCAUAUUCACAUAUAUAUAUAUAUAUAUAAAUGCAAAUUUGAAAUUUGAAAAGGUGGCAAAGAGAAACUGCAACGCUGCUUCUUAUAAUACUAGUCGCAAUAUUUUUCUUUUAAUAAAUACACCGUCCUAUCCCGUAUCAGAGAUUCCAGAGAGCGAGCCUGAACCUUCAUUUACUCUUCAGCACAUGGACCCACAAAUAAUUCUUCUUUCUUAAACGACAAAAUCAUAUAAAACUCCGCCUCAUCNNNNNNNNNNNNNNNNNNNNNNNNNNNNNACCCAACCCAAAAAAAAAAAAAAAAAGUCUAAAAUGAGAGUAGGUGCAUCCCCAUUUCCAAAACAAAGCAACAUAAAUCACCAAGCACAAAAAGCAAGACCCCCAGGUUCCACCCCACAAUUUCUUCAAGUUUAUAUAAUGCAUCAAGCUCACACACAGAAAACAAACUAGAAAUUGACAUAUUGAAGCUUAAAAUAAUACUGGAAUCUGGAAACAAGUUAUUAGUUAAACAGCACUAUUAUCGACCUUGUAAAAGCACAAUUAAUUACUGCUCCACAUGCAUGUCACUAGAACUGAUUGAAUUAAAUUUAGCUUAAUUUCUUCAGUUAAAUCUUAAACAUUAAUUAACAAUAUUUAAUUAGAUUUCAUUACUCAUCAUAGUCUUGCUUUGCAUCAUGGAGUUCUUGCAGUGAGCGAUUGCACCUUGAAUGGCACUCUGCAAUUCUUCCAUUGAUGAAUUAUCUGCGUAGUACAUGCCAACUCUGCUGCCUGUGCCUGAGCCUGCGAACCCAUUUCUACAUAGCACGCCAGAGUGGCUGGGUGAUGACCUCAUGGAUGAUGGGCAGCUUGAAACGCAGCUUCUCCUUCUUGGGUACCUCAGAUUUCCUGAGAAAGAGUGAGAAAAUCCUCGGUUGCUUUCUUUGUUUGCGUUCUUGACAGAGUCAUCAGAUCUUUCUGAUUUGAUGGAGAAUGAGACGCUGCUUAUAGGUGCUGCUGGCAUUGGAUUUACUCCUGCCAUUUUUUGCUGUUGUUUCUGAGAAAGUUUCUCGUAUAAUGGCUUCACUUUCUUCAAGUACUUCCUUAUCACCUCCUUUGCUGUCGCGCUCAUUCUCUUUACUGAAGAACCAGACACCGCAUCGUUUUCACGGUUUUUGGGCUCUUUCUUGAACACAGAGGAGAAUCUCGACAAGGAGAAGUAUUUAUUGCUCUUUUUGAUCUGAGAACUCAAAUUAACGUGGCUUUGAAAAUGAGGGUAAACGUUGUUAAGCCGCUUGAACUCAUCGUCUUCGGUGACAGAACUGGGUCUUGAAGAGUCACAUUCUCCGAGCAAGACAAGAUCACUACUGAAGGAGGAGGUGGAUUCAUUGGAGCUGCCGGUAGAGUCGCGAGAGGCAGUGGUAGUGGUAUCUGAAGAGGAGGAAGUGCUUGAAGAGGCUAAGAGUAUUGUGCGGACCAUGGAAAUACGAGGGGAGAGAUGCAGAGGCAAGAGCUGGCCCUUGUAGAAGAGCUCAUCAGCUGGGCAUAUAGCUGUGGAUGAUUUGCGUGGAGACAAAGAGAUUGUGAACUCAAAAUCUGAGGAAGAAGAGGAAGAGAAAGAAUGAGAAGGUGAUGAAGGUAGAGUUUGGGACGAUCUCAAGUCUUUCUCUCUUCUCUUCCCCAUCUUUGCUGCUACAUUAUCUGCAUCAUAAGAUCAGCAAAGCCAGAGAGAGAGAGAGAAGCAAAAUUGAUUGAGAGGUAAGAUCGAUAUGAUUAUAUAGAUGGAGGCUUUGUUUGACCUCACUCUCCAUUCUGGAGAGUGGAAAACAAGCGCCACCACCCACCAGUAAUUGUGGUCCAAAUUUUUUUGUGCUGUACGUUAUUUAGCUGUUAGUGUAUCGAAUUCCUUGAUCUGGGUAACGGUGGGAGGGGUCACAUGGGAGCUUGGAACGUCUCUUUCCCCCAUCUCUCUCUUGUGUUUGUGUGAUUGCAUUUGCAUGCAGCGGAAGCGUCACGUGCCCUAAACGUGAAAGGUGGGGUUAGAUCGUGGGUGAUAAAUAACGUUUUUUUUAUUUUACUCCGGGACAGAAUCCUCCAUUCAGAAUGCUGUAGUUAGUGUGAUGAGUGCGAGUGAUCAUCAUCUUCAGUACCUGCUGCCCCAUUUCACAGUUGUAUAGUCCACCUUCAAUAGGCAUUUUUUACCUGCACAUCGAUCUCUGGCUUUUUCAAUAACAAAUAUACAAAUUAAUGCUGGAAGUUUUUGUUAUUAAAAUAGGACAGCGAUAAUAGAGAUCUCACUCAUCCUCUUGCUGGCUCUCACUUGAUAGAGACGCAAUGAUUUUAAGGUUAAUCACAUUUUCCAAAACACUGCCUCUAGCUAACAAUUAACUACUCAUCCAAGGGUACGGACAUUGACUUAAACGUGGAGUUGGAUGCUUAAACCAAUGCAUGGCAUGCACAUACAAGCAACAAGCGAAUCAGUCCAUUUCUAGUUUUUUCUUUUACUGUGUCGACUUCAUGAUUAAGCAUUUGAUGCGUUACUUAGUUCUUACCUUAAUUACAUCGAAUUAAAAAGAGCUCAAAUCCAAAAACAACAUUCAUUUCAGCCGUUCAAAGCACCGAAAGGUUUAAUAUAUGGUUGUAAUAAACUAGGAAGUGAUAACUAACUGAGCCUGUUGGCUCUUAAGGAACAUUCGUUCUUUGAUUAGGGUAGCCAUUGGGGAUUUCAACUCAAGGUUUACCAGAAUUUAAUUAUUAAAUAGUAUGAUUUCCAUUUUAAUAAAAUUUAACAGUUAAAUUUUUUUUAUUAGAAACAAUAAUUGAAACAAUUAAUUUAUAUGUCCCUCUUCCAUAAUGCAGUCUUGUGGGUGGUGCCAUUGCCAAUAAGAAGAGUUAGUCUCAUCAUGGUAACCAAAACGCAUGACCUAAUAUUCAAAUCCAGCAGGACCCAAACACAACUAAGCAGAGCUCAUUACCAAAUCUUGGAGCAUAGAUACACCUUUAAUCUUUGUUUGAAUUCUAUAUAUAUGCUUUUAUUUAAUUAGCUCAAAUAAACUUUAUUAUGAUCGAUUUUUUCAGUAUAAAAAAAUUUACAUGGUGAUGCCUAAUUAAGAUAUUUCAGGAAGGGAUUUGAGAAUAAUGUAUAGGUUGAUCCAAAAAUUGAAAAUGAUUUUCUAAACAAAUUUGGUAAAGCUUGUUUUGUAUACCCCAUUAAUUAAUUAUUACAUUCAAGGUCAUCAAUUAUGCAAUAUAAUUUUUUAUGUUACUUUUAAGUUUUUUUAAUUAAUAUUUCAGGUUAUACGUUGAGUGUAUGCAAGGAAACCUUCUGGUCUGUAUUAAUUUUAUUUUUUUUGAAUUUUUAAUAAAAAAUUAUUUUCAACAAAAGAAACUUUUUAUAUACCGUUUUAGAAUUUUGAUUUUUUUAAAUAUUGAUGUCAUUAAUGCUAUGCCUUGUCAAGUUGAAAUUAAUAUAUCUGGGAAUACUAAUUGGGCCGAAGUGAAAUCUCAUUGCAUGUAAAUCCGGUGGAACCCCAAUUAAAAAUCUAUGGACAGAUAAUGGGCCCGUCAUUUUCCUGAAUCACAUCACAUGUCACACUUGUCACCGAGCGGGAUAUUAUUUUUAUUUUUAUUUUUAUUUAAAUAAAUUUAUUAACUAAAAAAUAUUAAAUUUUACGAUAUGUUAUAUUUAUAGUAAAAAAAAUUUUAAUUUUAAAUUAAAAAGCUUUAAAUUUUCAAUUAUAACAAUUUUUUAUAUUAAUUUUUAAUUUAUUAUAAUUAUAUUAAUCUUAAUCAUAUUUAAAAUAACUUACCAAGAUGCAAUGUGUUAUCACUUUUAUUAUAUAAAUAUAUUAACUAAAAAAUGUUUAGUAUUAAACUAAUUAUUGUUGUUAAUCAUUAUAUAAAUAUACGUUAUUAUAUAAUUAAUACAUAAAUGAUAUGGAAAAUAACUACUUAAUACAUAAAAUUUAAGCUUAUUAUAAGCACUAAUUUAGAAGCUCUUUAAAAUCAUCUAAGCAUUGAAAAUGACUUCAUUCACGAUGAACGGGUCAAAAUAAGUAUUAUAUAUAUAUAUAUUUUCAAAUAACACCACUAAUAGGACCAUUCUUAAAUAAAUGUUAAUAAUUUUUAAGGAUAUUCUGAUUUUGAGCACGAGUGGUCGAGUGCUGAUUGAAAAUAAUUAUAUCUGAAAAGGGCAAAGACAUAACUAGACAUGCAUGUAAGGACAGAAGUGUUGAAUUCUGCCAGCAAUUGGAAUUUCAUAUUGAACAUAUAUGAAAAAUAAAUUUGGGUUUCUCAAUUGCAUGGUGUAUUGAAUCUCAGAAAAUCCAAUCAUCAUCCUAAAAAGACGUGGCCCUUUUGCCUUUUCUUUUCUUCAAUCUCUAACCGUUAUUAUUCUCUCUAUUGACUCCCCGAAAACAAACAGAAAACGUUAAUUUUGUCGCUGGAGAUCUGUUCUUGCUGCUGCUGCUAACAACAUCACGUAGGUACUGAUAUAUCCAAGUAGCAUGGGCUCAGCUCAACGUCGCAUUCAAGCCAUCAACUCCCAUGUUAUUGCUGCCGUCGACACUCCUUCUCAGCUCCGUCUCAAACCCGCAGCUGGCGAGUUUUUCUCUGGUAACUCUCUCUUCAAAUGCUAUAUCUUCUCAAUGCCUGCAUUUGGCAUUGCCAUUUAUUAUAUGCAAUCUUCGAUUUCUGCGAUAUCAAUCGUUGGUCGUGGAAAGCAGAGAUUCCUUUGUUUGAAGAAAGGGUUUUCUGCAAUCAUUAUUAAUAAUACAGGGUUUACUGUUACACUUUUAUAUAAUGUUGGUUUUAGUUAGAAGUAUAUAUUGGUUAUCAUUAAGAUCGGAUCACUAUUUUUCCUUUUUUUUACUGAAAAGAUUACUAUUAUCCGGAGUUUGUGUUCUUUGCAUCAUAUAUAUUUAUUUUCCUCUUAAUAAUUUGAGAAAAAUGAUCUAUGGGUUUGUUUGGAAACGCAGCUUUCUGGGUUUUAAUCAUUCCCUUGGCAGUUUUAAAUAAUUAUGGUCUUAAAUAUGUCUCACUUCUUCCUAGUUGGCUGCAGCUUUGGUUUGUGUAUAUAUCUUUUUUUCCUGUCAUGUUUUUGGUGUCUGUAUACUAAUUUUUAAUACGGUCAAUGCUGAUACUGAUCUCUCACCAGAGCAGGGUUACAGUGUUGUGCUUCCAGAGAAGUUACAGACGGGAAAAUGGAAUGUAUACAGGUAUAUAUUUGACCCAAAUUCUUGACGUGUGGACCGCAUUGCCCCUGAGAUUCUAUUAGGUGCUCAUUUUUUUUUCCCUGGCAGGUCUGUCCGUUCUCCUCAUAAGCUUGUGAGCAGAUUUCCUGAUAAUCCUGAUAUUGGUACAUUGCAUGAUAAUUUUACGUAAGGAUCCUUCUUUUUUCCUGACUUAUUUAUUCUUGAAGCUUCUUAAGUUCCAGUUAACUUGUCUGCGUCAAAUGUAGAGCAUUCAAUUUCCUCUGUUUAGAAGCUUAAUUGUUUGUCGAACAUGGUGACUGUAGGCGGUCUGUUGAUGCUUUCCGUGAUUACAAAUAUCUGGGAGCACGAAUUCGGAUUGAUGGAAAAAUUGGAGAGUAAGUCCCAUAUGAAGCCAAAUUAAGUUGACACUUUUUAGCUUAUCUCAUCUUGAGUUUUGAUUAAUUUUAUACUAGGUAUAAAUGGAUGACAUAUGGAGAAGCAGGUACUGAGCGGACAAGAAUUGGUUCUGGCCUAAGGUAUCAGGGAAUGUCAAAUGUGAGUAUCUGCUGAAAAAAUAGAUUUUCCAUUGCAUUUGCAUAUUGGUCCUUUUUUUUAAUACAUGAUCAUUGGCUUUAAUGUGACAGGGAUCUUGUAUUGGAUUAUAUUUUAUCAACAGACCAGAAUGGCUCCUUGUUGAUCAUGCCUGCUCUGCGUACUCUUUUAUAUCAGUUCCUUUAUAUGACACUCUCGGUCUGUCAAUUGCUGACAUUGAAGUUUGAUUUUAUUUUUGCCUGAUCCUUUGGAUCUUGAAAUCAAUAAAUCAGUCUUGUUUUGUCUGCAGGUCCAGAUGCUGUCAAGUACAUUGCAAAUCAUGCUGAUAUACGGGCUAUAUUUUGUUUGCCCCAAAUUUUGACCCCUGUGAGUUAAAUUUGUGCUCUUAGGCAUGCUUGAAGUGAUCUUUUCGUGCUUUAUGAGGAACUUCAGAGUUUGGGCCUUUUGUGGGAUCACAGUUUCUGUUAAUUAAAUUUGUUAAUUAAAUUUGUUAAUUGUGUUCCAUGAUAUACACUUGGUGCCUUCAACUAGAGAUAAAAUUUUCCAGUUUAAGGAAUGAGAUAUGCAACAAAAGAUAUAAGUUUCUUUAUUACUUUUCUUGGAUGCAAAAGAUUAAUUUAAAAAGUAAAGGUGAUCUUUUCUUAAAUUUUGAAAUUAAAGUGUGGGUGGGUGUAUAUGUAUUAUAUGAAUAUGCAUAUGUAUCUUCUACUUGUUUGCUUUAGUAGCUGUAAAAUUGGCAAUUGGAGCUUCAUUGAGAAAUUUACACUUAAUUUUUCUUUUAAUCUUUGCUUAUUUAUUUUUUUUUUGUUUGCACGAUAUUGUUGGUGGGAGGAGCCUUGAUGCUUCUUGUUUUGAUUGUACAAAAUUCACAUAAAUAUAAUUCAUGUUUCUAACCUUUCAACCUCUCGGUAUUGAUCCCUUUAAUGUUUUGAAUCAGUUUUUGUGUCCAGCUGAGUCCCCUUAUUAUGUAAACAAGUAAUAUCACUGCUGCUGCUUAUACUAAUUUUUGUGUAUCACUGUUUUUCCAAUUAUGCUAUUUAUGAAAUGAAUGAUAGUGAGUUUCCUCCUACAAUAUUUUCACUAUAUUCCUUCAAUUUUGCAGUUGCUGAGUUUCUUGUCUGAAAUUUCAACUGUUCGUCUGAUUGUGGUAAGGAAACCUGCCUGAUUUUUGUUCACUUUGAACAGAAUGGUAGUAAAUUCCACACAUUACCAAGUUUGGUCUUGAGCAUUUUCAUUUGCAUUUCCCCUUAAACAGGUUGUUGGAGGGAUGGAGGAUCAAAUGCCAUCUCUUUCAUCAUCAACUGGAGUUCAGGUUAUAACAUAUUCAAAACUUCUUAGUCAGGUAAUUGACAUCCUUUCUUGUCGAUAUGCCCUUGAUUAUUUUAGAUGACAUGAAUAAAAUGAUGCUUAUUGUUAAAUACCUUCCAUUCUAAUGAUUUAUUCCACAAGUUUAAUCUCUCAGAAUAUAAACCUAACAUAACCUUUAGUAUGUCAUUCUGAAUUAGGGGUGUAAACGAACCGAGCCGAGCCGAGCUUUGAAGAGCUCAAGCUUGGUUCGUUAAAAUUUUUUCGAGCUCGAGCCGAAUUCGAGCUUUACUCAUAUUGAACUCGAGCCGAGUAUUGAGAAGCUCAAACUUGGCUCGUUUAGCAAACGAGUUUAGACGAGUCGAGCUUUUAUCGAGCUGAGUCGAGCUUUAAUCGAGCUGAGUCUCAAAUAGUUCACGAGUAAUUUAAUUUAUUUACAUGUAUAAUGAGUUUUAGUUUAAAACUAAUAAGUUUAAAACUAAAAUAAUUUUAGUUAAAUAAGUAUAUCUACAAAUUAGCAUGUAAACUUAUAAAGAUGAGUUUUUAAAUCUCAAUGAUCCAAAUAUAUGCAAGUUUAAGAGUGUAACUAAACUAUAUAGAGCUGAAUUUUAAAAAAUUUAGAUUUGGCUCAUUAAAGUAUAUGCAGGGUUUGAGUUUAUUUCUCUUAUGAUAGUAAUUUCAGUUUGCUUAACGAGACUGUUCACGAGCCUAUUCGCGAGCCUGCUCAUGAACUCAGAAACGAGCCGAGCUCACAAGUCUUAACGAGCCGAAUACUAUGGAGCUCAAGCUUGGCUCGUUUACCAAACGAUCCUAAAAAUUAAGCUCGAGCUUGGCUCGUUUAGAAAUCGAGUCAAGCUCGGUUGAGCUUUUAUCGAAUCGAACCUCGAAUAGCUCACGAACGGUUUGGUUCAUUUACACCCCUAUUCUGAAUAUUUUCCAUUAGCCUUCAUGAAGAGCUUGAACUGAUAUUAGAUACUGCAUAAUUUGAUUUAUAUUUAUCAGAAGUUUCUUUAAAGGUUAAGGAAGCAUUACCCUGUAUGAUUUUAUUCCGACCUUUCCAGCAUUUUCCAGUUGUCUGCAUCAUUUUAACUACUGCCUCUUGAUUUAUUUAUGUUGCAUUUAUAGUGGUAGCUAGGCCUGGCCAAGCAUCACCUGUAAAUCAAGCACUGUUUAUUAUCAAAUUGCUUCCAAUAGUAUUUGUGAUCUUGCAGGUUUGUUAGUUUUUCUUUAUCACUAAAAUAAUUACUUUCACAUUUGAAUUGCUGACUUUUAGGGCCGCAGUAAUCCUCAUCCUCUUUCUCCGCCAAAACCUGAAGAUGUUGCUACAAUUUGCUACACAAGUGGUACAACAGGGACACCAAAGGUAUGAAUAUGAGUUCUCCAAGAAUUUCAAGUUUCUGAUUUUGAAGCUAGAUGUUUCUGAUUGGUUUAACUGAGUUUUGCAAAUGGAACUCAAUUUUAUUGUGAUAAACUCUGUCAAGGGAGUCACAUUGACCCAUGGAAACUUGAUUGCACACGUUGCUGGACUCAGUGUUAAGGCUAAUUUUUACACAUCAGAUGUGUGAGUACUGCAAACUUUAUUAAUCACAUAGUAUAUUGUGACUGAAGUUCCAACCUAAUGCUUUCUCUUGGCUGAAUUACAUGUGAUUUUGCCAGCUACUUGUCAUAUCUUCCUUUCCCACACAUUUAUGAAAGGGCAUUCCAGGUCUUGUUAGCAUAUUACGGAGUUGCUGUUGGAUUCUAUCAGGGAGUAUGAUACUUAACAUUUCUGCUUUUUAGAUCUUGAAUUUGUGCUGUUAUAUUAUGCUUUUCAUAAUGGUUACCUCGAUAAAGUAGCUCAUGUUUUCAGAGUCAUUUUGAUCCAAGUAGUCCGUUCAAAUUUUAAACACACCUUCCAUUGAAUGCAGGAUACUACGAAGCUAAUGGAUGAUGCGGCUGCUCUAAGACCCACAAUCUUUUGCAGUGUUCCUCGGCUGUAUAAUAGAAUAUAUACUAGGUGAAGUCACUGAACAUUACUGCUCAAUGCAAUCUUUUUUAUUGCACUACUGUCUUUAAAUGAUGAUUGAGCCGAAAACUUUAUUUGCAGCAUUAUAAAUUCAGUAAAGACAUCUGGUGCUUUAAGGGAAAGGUUAUUCAAUGCUGCCUACAAUGCUAAGAAGCAGGCACUUCUGAAUGGUAGAGAAUAGUAUUUUAUAAUAUCUUUGUUGCUUUAAGCUUUUCCUAUUGUGUUCUAUUCUUUUAUACCUACAUUGUGAAAUUUCAUUUUUCACUAUACUAUUACAAUAUGAUUUCGGGAAGGAGAGAGCAAAUUUUGAAAAGUAUAAAUAUAUGUAGACCUUUUAUGAGGAUAAGCAUUAUAGUUUAUGAAUUUAAGGCUGAUCUUGCAAUGCAAAGUCAUGUUCAUUUCAUUGUAUGAAAGGUGGAUUGUGGAGGUGCCGAGGUGCAGAAUAGAGCACUAAAUGAACUGCUCAAGAAAUAUUAACUUUUAAUCUGUGCUUGAAACAAUUAAGCUAGUGUAAAGCAGACAUCUAAUGUGCACGAGUCUAUGCAUCACAAUUGGCUGGGCUAGAAGAUUGAAUUUGUUGGUGAGAGUUCAUAAAUAAGUCUUAUAUAUCCUUCACUAACACUACCCUUAGCCUUAUUGAUCAUGACUUUAUUAUUUGAGCUAUUAGCACUAAGCAAGCAUCUGUGACAUGACCAAUACCUCAAAGUUCUGGGGCAUGUUGUGUUCUGAGUAACUUCAAAUGCAGCAUCAAGGGAUGGACCUCCAAACUUACAAUCUUUAUCAUUAGAUUCUGAUUAGUCAAAAGUAAGUUCUCUUUGUUGCUUAGAUGUUUAUCAGCUGUGCUAUAUGUAAUACUGGUGCAGGCGAGAGUCCAUCUCCAAUGUGGGACAGAUUGGUGUUCAAUAAGAUAAGGGAGAGACUUGGUGGAAGAGUUCGUUACAUGGGAUCUGGUGCUUCACCCUUGUCUCCUGAUGUCAUGGAGUUCUUGAAGAUGUAAGAUGAUUAAUUUUUAGCUUUUCAACAAUUACUAGGGUGUGGCUUUUUUUUUUUCAUCCGUCCAUUUAGCAUGAUAUAUUUUGUAAGAGAAGAGUACAUAAAUUUUUACAAAAUUAUGCAUGAUUUUAUUCUUUUUUUGUAAUAAGACAAGGAAUAAUUGGGUAAUUUCUAUAUAUUUUCUCUACUAAAAUAAUUCUAUUUAUGUACAAAUUACAAAGUUUUGUUAAGACAACUUCUAAGAAUCCUCUAUCAAUCAAUUAGUAUCAAUUAACCUAUGAUUAUGUAAUCUCCUUUAAUUAUAUACAAAUUAUAUUCACACUCUAACACUCCCCUCAAGGUGGAACAUAGAUGUUUAUCAUGCCUAAUUUGUUAUAAAAAUAUUCUAUUUGAGGCUCAUUUAAAGUUUUGGUGAGUAGAUCGCCCAGUUGCCCUCCUGUUUUCACAUAACUAGUGGAAAUUAAUUUUUUUAAAUAUUCUCAUGGAUGAAAUGACAAUCAACUACAAUAUAUUUGGUCUGUUCAUGGUAUACUAGGUUGGAAGCAAUGUGAAGAGUAACUUGAUUAUUACACUAAAAUUUCGCAAGUGACGCAACAUCCAAACCAAUUUUUCUAGCAGAUGAUUUAUCCAUAGAAUCUCACAAGUGGAUUGAGGCAUGACUCUGCAUUCUAACUCGGCACUAGAUCUCAAUACCACAUUUUGCUUCUUAUUUUUUCAGGACAUUAGGUUUCCUCCAACAAACACAUAGUAGCAUGUAGUCGACCUUCUAUUACUUUUGAAUCCCGCCCAAUCAACAUCUGAAAAAAACACUAAACUGCAGUAUGCCUGUGUUCACUGUAGUAUGCCUAUGAUCACUGUAGACUAUACUGAGUCCAGAGAUCCCUUUUAGAUAAUAUAGAAUUUGUUUUAGAGCAGUCCAAUGUUUAGGUGUAGACAUGAACUUAUUUACAAUGCUUAAUGCAAAAGCAAUAUUUGGCCGAGUUAUCACGGUAAGGUAGUUCAACUUUUCAACCAACCUUUUGUACCUCUCUGAGUCAUCAUAGGGGUCGCCAUCAUCUUUUGUGAGACAUACAUUAGAAAUCAUUGGUGUGCUACAGGGUUUAACUCCCAUCUUUCUAGUUUUUGCAAGUAAAUGAAGGACAUACUUCCUUUUAAGACAUGAAAAAUUUCCUUUUUACUUCUCAAGACUUUGACUCCCAAGAAAUAUUUAAACUGAUCCAAGUCUUUGGUACAAAAACUCGCAAGCAAUAAGGAUUUGAGGGAAGAGAUGCCUGCAAUAUUAUUCCCUCUAAUGACAAUGUCAUCAACAAUAUUUGAAUUUUUGUAAAAGACUAAGUAGUCACACUUACUUUUUUUCAACCUAAAUUCUUGAACAACUUCACUGAACUUGUCAAAUUAUGCAUGGGGAUUUUGCUUCAGUCCGUACAAAAAUUUCUUCAAAUGCUAGACUUUUCCAUACUCCCCCUGAGAAAUAAAUCCAGAUGGUUGCUCCAUAGAUACCUCUUAAAAAUCACCAUAUAAAAAUACAUUCUUGACAUCUAACUGGUAUAAAGGCCAAUGCUGAGAAGCAAUUAGAGAGAUGAACAAGCGAAUUAAGGUCAUUUUGGCCACAGGAGAACAAGUGUCAGAGUAGUCAACAACAUAGGUUUGAGCUUAGCCUUUAGCGACAAGAUGGACUUAAAAGAUAGGCCUUAAGCCUUGCUACAGAACCAUCUAUAUUAACUUUAAUAGCAAAAACUCAUUUACAGUCUACAGCCUUCUUGUCCGGGGGUAAAUUAACUACUUUUCAAGUAUAAUUUUCAUCUAGAGGCUUGACUUCCUUAAGUAUUGCAUCUCGCCAUCUAGAAUGGAUCAGGGCCUCCUUUACUGACUUAGAUAAGGAAAUGGAAUCUAUAGGACAAUUAAGGAGAUAGAGGAAGGAGACAAGUGAUCAUAAGAAAGAAAGUUAGCAACAGAGUAGGUAGACUUACAUUGUCGUUUAUCUUUAUAAAGACUAAUAGAAAAGUCAAGGCCACUGGGUAGUGAAUCUGAUGACGAAAUAGAUUCUGAUACAGGACAUGUAUCAUCAGGUAUUGUUCUCCCUUAAACAACUGGCAGGAGGUUGAGUAUUAAAAGGAACUCCACCAUCAAAUUGUUUGUAGGAGUUCCCACCAUCAGAUAUGAUUCUAUAGAUAAGCCACUCAUCGUCCUCAACCUGACUAGUAGAGGUUUGUGCAAUAGUAAAAAAAAAAAUUACUUUAAAAAGGCUAUAUCUAUAGAGACUAGAUACUUGUUAAGCUCUGGAAGACGAAAAUAUUUCAAAAAAAUACACUUCAAAGCUUUAAGUCAAGAUUAGUCACAUGAGGUCUGACAUUCGGAACAUAACAAGUGCUGCUAAAAAGUCAUGAUUCCAGAGGAGAUAAUGGACUUAGGAAAGAGGACAUUAUAGUAAGUAUCACCAUUUAGCAUUGGAGAGGACAUGCGAUUGAUGAGGAAGCAUGCAAUGGAGACAGCAUCAGUCCAAAAUGGCUUAGAAACUUGCAUUUGAAACAGCAGAGCUCGAGCAGUCUUAAGGUGAUGUCAAUUUUUUCCUUUCAGCUAUCCUAUUUUGAGCGAGUGUAUCAAUACAUGACGAUUGGUGGAGAAUACCAUGUUGAGUCGUAUAAACCUGGAAUGAUUCUGACAUAUAUUCUUUAACAUUGUCGCUUCAUAAAAUUUGCACAUAAAUAUUAAAUUGAGUUUUGAUUUCAGCACAAAAGAUAGAAAAAUGAUAAAAUACUUCCGAACAAUGCUACAUAAAAGAAAUCCAAGUCAUUUUAGAAAAUCAUCCACAAAAGUGAUAAAAUAUGAAAUAUUUGAAUCCAGGCCUAGACCCAAUCGGACAUGGCUUGCAAACAUCCGAAUGAACUAAUUCAAAAGUAAAUUCAGCUCGUUUAUUGACUCUAGGACUUAAAGAGUUUUGAUGAUGUUUUGCCAAAUGACACGACUCACUCUAGCGAAAAAAACUCAUGAAAUUAAGGGUAUAGUUGUUCCAACUGACAAUGUGCUUUGAACAGAGACACGAUACUGGAACAGGCACCAGACCGAGGUACUCAUGCAUCCAAAAUAUAGAGGCCACCAGAUACAUGUCCUUUACCAAUAAUUUGCUUUAUCACAAGAUUCUGAAUGAGACAAUGAUUAUGAAAAAAUAAGACACGAUAAUUUAAGUUUUUGGUAAAUUUACUCACAGAAAUUAAAUUAAAAGCAAGAUUAAGUAAAUUUAGCAAAGAUAAUAGAGUAAUAGAAGAAGUAGCUUUAACAGUCCCACAACCAUCAACAUUAUAAGUUGACCCAUCAGUUAUGGUAACAGGAGAAAGUACUGUAUGAGAUCAAAAGCUGGUAAAAAUAUGAGGAUUACCUGUCAUGUGAUCUGUGGCACUAGAAUCAAUGAUCCAUUUGUGUGAAGAGGAGAUAAGGUAAAUUUUACCAAUCUCAGCAAUAGCAGUGGAUCCUUUCAACUAAUUUUUUGCAAUUUUGAUAGGCGUUGGGAUGAUUUUAAUAAUAUGGAUCUUACUAUCAGAAGCCAUUUCAAACAAAAUUUAGCAUAGAACACCAAUUCACUUCACAAAAUACUUCAAGACACGAAAUCAAACCUUAAAACACUACACCCAACCUCAAAAAGCUUAAACACAGGUAAGGAAUGGAGGAUCUAGAAUUUGCUUUGUCACAACAGAGGAGAAAUUCAACUACAGUAGCGUCCAAUGACAAAUCCGUUGCCGGAAACUGAAUGGAAACCUCGAGGCGACUUCGUAACAGGAACCCGAGGCUUGCCAGACGCACCAUGCUCCUCCAUGUACUAGUGUGUGACAAAUUAAACCGAACCUUCAAAUGGUGCGUGAGAUCCACUUUUUGACAGGAUGACCACCGGACUUCAGGGAAUGGCCAGAACAUACUUGCGCUCCUUGGAAAGCCGAAGGUGAGAUCAAACGGGCACCGAAUUCCAGUAACUCAACCAAACAGUUCCCUCUAUCGAGAAACUAAAAAAAACAAAGGACCUUUAAACUCAAAUGCUUUAAUACCAUAUAAUAAGAUAAGAAAUGAUUGGACAAUUUCUGUGUGUUUUCUCUAUGACAAUAACUGUGUUUAUAUAUAAAUUAUAAGGUUUUGUUAAAACAAUUUUUAAGAAUCCUCAUUCAAUCAAUUAGUAUCAAUUUAGUCUAUGAUUAUAUUAAUUAUGUACAGGUUAUAUUCACAUUUUAACAUCUUUAAAAAUUAAAAUUUUGUAAGUUAAAAAAGAAAUGAGUUUUUCCAUUUUAAAUAAGAAAUUGUAUUUAAAAAAAAAGAAUUAAAUUGAAUUCUUGUGAAAUCUUUUAUUCCAAACAAGAGUUUGUAAUAAUAUUUGUUUCACUUUGUAGCUGCUUUGGUUGCCGUGUAACUGAAGGAUAUGGAAUGACUGAGACUUCUUGUGUUAUAAGCAACGUAGAUGAGGGUGACAACCUAACUGGUCAUGUUGGUUCUCCUAAUCCAGCCUGCGGUGAGUUCUGUGGAGUAUUAUUACAGCCCAACAAGUUGGCUUCUCAUAGUUCAUCAUGUGUUCUUUUGCAUUGGGAUAAGGUCAUUAUUAUUUGUUUUUCUGUCUCAGAAAUAAAACUUGUGGAUGUUCCUGAGAUGAAGUACACGUCUGAGGAUCAGCCCUAUCCUCGUGGGGAAAUCUGUGUGAGAGGUCCCACUGUUUUCCAAGGCUAUCAUAAAGAUGAAGCACAGACGUACUCACCUUCCUGUGGUCUGGUAUUUUGUUAUUAAGUUGGUCAUGUACUGCAAGUCUCUUAACAAAAUGAUGUCAUGCAGGAGAGAAAUAAUUGAUGAAGAUGGAUGGCUUCACACCGGAGACAUAGGACUAUGGUUACCCGAGGGUCGUCUGAAGAUUAUUGAUAGGUGAAAUAGUCUUUGGUUGAAUUGUUAAUGAUUAUUGAAUUAACGCCAUAUUCUGUAGAAUCCCAUAAGCAUAGAAUCAUUGUACUUGAGCUUUGCUACAGAACUUAAGUCAUGUGGAAUUAUGCAGCCCAAAGAUCACUUACUUAGUGACUAUAAUUUGAGCCAUUUAUAUUUUGCUCGUGGAAAGAAUAAGUUCAACUUGACUGGGGUUUUAGUUACCAUUACACCAUCGGAAAGUAUUUCUAAGAUGCCAAUUUUUUAAAAAAAAACUUUGGUAAUCAUGGAAGCUUAGGUGCUUUUGCUCCUUUAUGAAGUGUGUAUUCAUGGAAAAAAAUUGUAUUUAUCUAUUCAGUGCUUUUUCUGGUUGGAGCUUGCACUUAUGUUUUGGAGCAUGUGUGGCUUUCAGCAAUUUUAAAACACUUGUAUGUCGGUGCAGGAAGAAGAACAUUUUUAAGCUGGCACAGGGAGAGUACAUAGCCCCAGAGAAAAUUGAGAAUAUAUAUGCUAAAUGCAAAUUUAUUGCCCAGUGCUUUGUGUAUGGUAGGCAGAUAAGUUCAAUUAUGGGACUCUCUCUACAUAUUCUCUGCAAGCUAAAUCUAAUAUUUGUAUUGUUAGGGGACAGCCUUAACUCCUCUCUGGUAGCCGUUGUUUCAGUGGACCGAGCUAUUUUGAAAGCAUGGGCUGCUUCUGAAGGCAUUAAGGUGGUAUAUAGUUUUAGAAAUUUGCAUCUGUAGGUGAAAUUUUAUUUUUUGUGUUCUCUUUUGGAAGUAAAAUUACAUGCAUGGUUGAUGUAUCUAGGGAAUUUGUGGAUGCUUGUAACUAUAGGCUAAUGGUUUCUUGCCAAUUUGUGAGUGUAGUAUGACAGUUUGGAGCAACUAUGCAAUAAUCCAAGAGCAAGGGCAGCUGUCCUCGCAGACAUGGAUGUUCUUGGAAGAGAAGCAAAGGUAAUUGAAUGAAUGAAAUUACAAGGCAAUCUGUUGUUGUUAUGUCUUGAAAUUCUUGCUUUACCCUUCAAUUGAUUGGCCAAAUUUCUGGCAGCUCCGAGGUUUUGAAUUUGCAAAAGCUGUGACUCUUGUGGCGCAACCAUUUUCAAUAGAGAAAGGUUUUUUGACUCCAACAUUAAAGGCAAGUGCUCAUCUCUAAACCUGUAAACAGCUAAAAACCGUAGGGAAAAAGACAAACUAGGCAGCUCCUUAUUGAACAUAUUUACUUUCAGAUAAAGAGACCUCAAGCAAAGGCAUUCUUUGAAAAGGAAAUAUCAAAAAUGUAUGCGGAGCUUGCCACAUCUGUUCCAUCCUCCAAAGGGAAGUUGUGAAGUUGACAAGAAAAGCAUAGAAAUAUAGAAGCGGUGCCAAAAUUUCACGGCCUCCACACGACAAUAAGAUCACCAUCUCCAUAUGUGACAUAGUGAAAGGCCUGGAGCUGAGCUCACUGUUGAAGCAUUCUGUACUACGUUCCCUAUUUGUUUUUUGUUUUUUUUUUUUUUUUUUUGUCUCUUGCUCUGUGGAAUAGAGUUAUUGUAGAAAGUCUGAUUAUUUUGUUGUGUUCCUCAGUCCAUCGAGGCUUUUACACAUAAUUUUGUGUAUAAAAUAAAGAGGAAAAUAACCAUCAGUGGCAGAUCCGAGUUUGGAUGUCGUUGACCAUUAAAUUCAUCUAAUUUCUACGUUGGUAUGAUUUAUCAGUAGAUGGGCAGGCCUACCAGUCAGCUUCCUGUCAGGAUCCAGAUUUCAUUUAUGUCCCACAAAGUCAGUCUACAUAAGGUCUUCUCAAUGAGAUUGUGUUAAUAAUUAAAAUCCUGUAUGAAAAACAAGAAUUCCCCAUUUGAAUUACUGGUAGACGUAACCAAAUUUGUUAGGUAAAGGGUCCUGAGUUGGUUCAAACUUAAAAUUUCAGAACUUUUUGUUGGAUGCCGCCUACAGAUGGCUCUACAAUGUAAUAAUGGUAAGUGAUUUAAAUGAUUGAAUAAAUAAACUCAAUUAAAACAAAACAAAUAUGAUAUGAAAGUUAUUCUAACUAAAUAAAAGAGUAAAGCAAAUCGUCCACGAUAUCCAAUGCAUCGAUUUAAAGAAAAGUUUCUGCUGUUUAUUGAACAGUGGAAGAAUGAUUAUUACAGGGAUCCCACUUGGGUUGGGUUUGAAGUGGAAGUGAAAUCAGCAAGCGCUGAGAUAUUUGGUUUGGUGGGUUGGAUUGGAAUCUUGCUCUACUUUCACUUAUUGUGGAUUUCAUUUCUAUGCUUAUACAAUCGGACAUAAUAAUGCAAUGUUGCCACUAGACUUUAUUAAAUAAAAUUAGAUGACUUUAGGGUUGUAAGAUUGUUGUCUGUCCACUGUUCAUAAGGUACAAAUCUUGUAUAUAUAUAUAUAUAUACGUACAUUCUUUGAAACGUGCAACUCAUGUGUAGUUAAUCUCCCCAUCAGGUGCCCUAGAGUUGUACACGUGGAUUCGAAUCUGACUGUAGCCAAGAGAUCUCCCAUACAGCUUGCUGUAGGAGAACGUAACCCCUCGCCCCCGAGCGUACCUCUGCUGUUUGCAUAGAGUUGGCAAAUGAAAAUUUAAGAUCAAGAGUCAAAUUUUAACAGAAAACGCUAGGACGAGAACGGAGAGAAGACGCGAAGUCACCGAGGAUUCUACGCCAUAGUCAGCCUUUUAUAUCUCUCUCGCGAUUUCUCGUCUCCAACCACCUCUUGAUUGCUAUCUUUCUCCUGUUUUAACGCAGUAAUUUUAUUCUUUUUCCAUUCUUUUAUCGGUAUAUGAUCUGUAUAUAUUCAUUCUCAAAUGGUGCACAGCUUCCAAUUCUCUGAUUUCUAAUUUGGUGCCAAUUAGGGUUUAGGUUAGGGUUUGAUUUCGAGGCAGAGAGAGAUAGAGAUCGAUAAUGUUAUCGAAUCAUCUGCAAGAUGGAAUAGAGACCGCUAAGCUAAUGUGGUCUAGGAUUCCAAAUUCAGAGGAUGGUCAGUUCGAGGGGGUUGGCCUCUUAAAUUCCAGCGAUGCGAACGCAGUCGAGAGCCUUGACUAUGAAGUUAUAGAGAAUUACGCGUAUCGAGAAGAGCAGGUUUGUGUAUGUGUAGGAUUUUUUUUUUUUUAAAAAAAAGAGAAAAUUGUUUACUGAUCUUAGUUCGUCGUUUGUGGAUUUGCAGGCGCAGAGGGGAAAGCUUUAUGUCGGUUAUUACGUGGCCGUGAAGUGGUUUUUUGCUUUGCUUAUUGGCAUUGGUAAGUGCUGUUUAGAUUUUGGGCUAGGAUUCAUGCUUAUUGAUUAGGAAAACUCGCCUGAUUAUAUUGCUAGUAUUACUUGUUUGGUUUUGCUGCUGUACAACUCUUUAUUGAUUACUGUUAAUACAUAUUACCAGCUGUGUGCUGUAUGGUCUAUUCAUAUUAGAAUUGAGUAUUUAUGAUGGAAAGCUAAAUUGGAUGAAACAUCUUACCCAGUGAAUAAGGAUAUCUUUUGGAUUAGUUUUCUCAGAGAUGGCUGUAACAUGACAUUCACUACUUGAGCUUUUAAUUAUAAAUUAGAGAUAAAUGAUCUAGGAUUAUAAACGUUGGGCAUAGUUUUCACAAGCUGUUCCCUUGUUAUUUUUUAAAGUAAGCUAGAGCCAUGAUGUGUACUGUCCAAUAAGAUUUCUCACCUAAAAGUAUUGCACUAUUUAGGCUGAAAAAGAUGGGCUUAACUUUUUGUAAUGGAUUGAAUUAGUCUCUUUUUGAGUGAUUUUAUUGUAAUACUUUAAUUUAUGGAAAGAAAAUUUUAGAGUUCAAAGAUAUAUAUAUAUAUUUUUUUCACUAAGGAGUUCAAGAUCAUUUAGCUAUAUAUCUGAUAUCUUUUUAUUGCUUUCAGGUACAGGAUUAGCUGCAGUUUUCAUCAACAUAUCUGUUGAGAACUUUGCUGGCUGGAAAUUUUCGCUGACUUUUUCUAUAAUACAAAAGUCAUAUUUUGCUGGCUUUGUAGUAUAUGUAUUAAUUAACUUGGUUUUAGUCUAUUCGUCUGUAUAUAUCAUCACACAAUUUGCACCCGCAGCCGCAGGAUCUGGUAUUCCUGAAAUUAAGGGCUAUCUGAAUGGUAAGCUGCACAUCUCAGUCAGCUUUGUCUCACUGUCACUGGUUUUGAGUUGUUUCAGCUGUCAUUCGUUAAGGUGCUGAUUGUUAUUAAACAUGCAGGAGUUGAUAUUCAUGGAAUUCUACUUUUCAGAACCUUGAUUGGAAAGGUAUAAUUGCACUCCUUAUUUCUUGGUUGAGAUUUUAGUUUACCUGGAUUUUAAUUUUACUUUCCUGUUUUAGAUAUUUGGAAGCAUUGGUUCUGUAGGGGGUGGUCUUGCUCUAGGCAAAGAAGGUCCUCUUGUUCAUACUGGUGCUUGUAUUGCUUCAUUGCUUGGACAAGUAAGAAUUUACUGCUUGAAUUUUACUGUGUUGCCUGGUCAAAUAUAAGUUUGAGUAACUUUUAGUGUUUGACCUACAAGUUAAGUAUUUCCUCAUCAAUUUAGGGUGGGUCCACCAAAUAUCAUCUGAGUUCCAGGUGGCUACAAGUUUUCAAGAGUGAUCGGGAUCGUCGUGAUCUUGUGAGUAACUUAUGCCUUCAAUGAGAUUUAAGCUUUAGCUUUUUUGCAACAGCAGAUUGUAUCUUUUCGAUUUGUUUGCGUAGUAUUAGAUAUUCUUGGCAACCCUUCUACAUGCCUGUAUCCUGGUAGUUCUGGAUUAUGUUAACUUGGACAUCUUUCUGUUUCUAUGGUCAUGUAAUUCUGAUCUCGCCAUUUCUUAAAGAACAGAGGUGGCUCACCUCUAUAUUACACUUAUUUUUCAUCUUUUUAAUGUUUUGAAAAAGGUGACCUGUGGAUGUGCAGCUGGAGUUGCUGCUGCUUUUAGAGCCCCAGUUGGCGGUGUAUUGUUUGCACUGGAAGAAGUUACAUCAUGGUAAGAUAUUUUUAUUUCUUGAUUAUAUAGUUAAUAACUUAAUUUAUGCUUCUAUGCCAAGUAUCAUUGGGGGGGAUUCAGUCAGUGUUGGAUGGCAUCAAAUUUACUGUCCUAUUCCUAGUAUUGUUUUUGUCUUUUCUUUUAGGUAUAUAUAUUACCGUAUGUCAGUGUUCUAUAAACAUUUACGUUUUUACAUGGUUUGGCUUAAUUUUAAAUUUGAAUGAUUCUUACAUUUAUUUCUGUUUUGCUAUUGAAGGUGGAAGAGUCAACUUAUGUGGCGUGUCUUCUUUACUUCCGCUAUUGUGGCAGUGGUUGUGCGUACUGCAAUGGGAUGGUGUAAGAGUGGAAAGUGUGGGCAUUUUGGCUCAGGUGGCUUUGUAAUAUGGGACAUAUCAGAGUUGAGAUCAAGACCCUUCUCUUUGUGUGUGUGUGCAUGGUUAUCCCUGCUGUGAGCUUUUAUUGGUUAUCUAAUAUUCCUAAGCCCCAUCUGUUAUUCAUUUUUUUCUUGACAGUGGGCAAGAGGACUACUCCUUUGGGGAAUUACUUCCAAUGGCAGUCAUUGGAGUUAUUGGCGGUCUACUUGGUGGGUAACCAUAUUCUAAUAUUACUAUUUCUCCUCUUUAAAAAUUGCAAUUGCAUAUAAUUUUUUAUGGGUUAUUUUCUUCUCUUUUUAAUUUUCAGGAGCUCUAUUUAACCAGCUAACACUUUACAUAACUCGUUGGCGCCGGAAUUCUUUACACAAGAAAUCAAUCCAAGUGAAGGUAGAAUUUAGGAUAAUCAUGGGAUGUUCAUUUUGUUUCCUGCUCCUGCUUGUGUUGAUUCUUUUGUUCAUGCACUGUUAUUUCUUGUUUUACUUCAUAUAUUCAAACUGGAAUUAUAAUAUUGUUACAGGUUAUUGAAGCAUGCCUCAUCUCUGUGAUUACUUCGGCUAUUUCUUUUGGACUACCACUUCUAAGAAAAUGCAGUCCAUGCCCUGAAGCAGAUGCUGACUCUGGUAUUGAGUGCCCAAGGCCUCCAGGAAUGUAUGGGAAUUAUGUAAAUGUAAGAUCUGACUUAGAAUUCACUCUAUUAGCUUUCCUUUUUCUGUAUUUUUUAAUUAUUUUUUUACACUUGGCACACUUGUCUAAGAAAUUUUCAUGAUUAUCCUGUUACUUGAGUGUAAUAGUUGGUUACAGUAUUUUAUGCUUUGUGGAUAUAGCUUUUAAGGCGUCCUUAUCUAUUUUAUGACAUAUGCAGUUCUAUUGUGACAAGGACAAGGAAUACAAUGACCUUGCAACAAUUUUCUUUAAUACUCAGGUUUCAUUAGGAUCCUAACAGCCUCUUUCUUGCUUUAUAUUGUAGUUUUUCACAUCGUUUCCAUGGUUUUUGUUUUACUACGUUUAUAUCUUGUUGCAGGAUGACGCCAUAAGGAAUCUGUUUAGUGCAAAGACCAUACAUGAGUUCAGUGCUCAAAGUUUAUUGACAUUUCUGGUAGUGAACUCCUCUUCCAUGAGAAACUUGUCUUGUCUUCUUUUUUUUUUCCACUGGUGCAAUUGAUUCUCAAGUAUUGAGCUUUCUGCCCUCUCUGGAUUAUGCUAUUCACUUUUACAUCAAUAUCAAUCUAUUUAUGGGCAAGUAACCUAGGAGCGUGUAUGAUCAUUUUUUAACAUCUAUAAGGUUACUCUAGUGCAGGUUGUUUUAGAUGAUGCAUAACAUAUAUUUUAAUUAAAUGACAUGUAAUUGAAUGAGUUGUUGAAUCUUUAUGAUAUUUGCAGGUAAUGUUUUAUACUCUGGCAGUGGUGACAUUUGGCAUGGCAGUUCCUGCUGGUCAGUUUGUUCCUGGAAUAAUGAUAGGGUCAACAUAUGGACGCCUUAUCGGCAUGUUUGUUGUUAAAUUUUACAACAAACCCAACAUUGAGGAGGGAACGUGAGUCUCUUGCUUUAGUUCUGUGAAAUUUUCAACAGUAAGCCAUGUAUUUUAUUGGUGUUGUUUAGCACUCAUCUUCAUAUGCACUCUCAGAAGCUUUGCUUUUUGGAUUGCAAAUAAACUAUGACCAAAAAAAGGUGGUUUCUGUGGAUUAAAAAAUUUUGCACUGUAAAAUUUGUCCCAUUUAUUAUUGCUUAACAUGUCUAUGGGACCUCUUCCUUCUUUGUUCGAGGAACUAUUCCUCUGAUAUUGUUAGCUUCUUACUAAAUUGUGAUGUAUGUAUCCUGGUGUAUUUCUAGAUAUGCUCUGCUGGGUGCUGCUUCUUUCCUUGGAGGUUCAAUGCGAAUGACAGUCUCAUUGUGUGUCAUCAUGGUUGAGAUCACAAACAACUUGAAACUUUUACCUCUGAUCAUGCUUGUUCUCCUUAUAUCAAAGGUAUGCUUUUGAAUUGCUUUGCAUAAUUAUUGAUGGAUGCUCUGUGAAGUUACAAUAGUCUUUCAUCACUGCAGGCUGUUGGUGAUGCUUUUAAUGAAGGUCUGUAUGAAGUACAGGCCCAAUUGAGAGGCAUUCCAUUACUGGAUACCAGACCUAAGUACCAGAUGAGAAAAAUGACAGCAAGGGAAGCUUGUGGAAGUCAGAAGGUUACUUUUAGUCAAAUGCUUCUCAUUUUUGUCCGCAUGUUCCCAAGGUUUCUGUUUCAGAUAUGAUCAUGAGUGUCCAAGCUUCAAAUAUAAACAUAAGUAGAAGCGUCCUCUGUAUAUUCUUUGACUGUUAUUUACUAAAUUUGAACACUUAAGCCAAUUUAUUCUUUUAAUGACUUUCUUGAUUCUUCUUCAUUUUCUAAUCCCUUUUGUACUGCAUAUUUUUUUGAACUCAUUGAUUGCUUUUGAUCCCAUCUUUUGAAGGUUGUCUCCUUUCCUCGUGUUGUUAAGGUCGCAGAUGUAGUUUCUAUUUUACGGAGCAAUAAACACAAUGGCUUUCCUGUAAGUUUUUCUUCCUUCUGUCAUAUAUUGUUUCUACUCAGGGUUGCUAAAAUAUAUGCCAAUCUUUUACAACACAGGUAAUUGAUCAUGCGAGAAAUGGAGAAACCCUUGUGAUUGGACUAGUGCUUCGCAGGUGCAACUCUUAAUUCACUUUUGGUUUAUGUUAUUUAUUUGUUAGAAGCGGAGGCUGUACAUUGCACUAGCUGAACAAGCUAAUUUUUAAUCUUUGGUUUUCAUGGAAGUCAUUUGCUAGUGCUUCUCCAGUCUAAGGGAGAUUUUCAGCAUAGUCCUUUGCCUUGUGAUCCUAGAGCUGGAUCCAGGUCAAUCAGGUAACUGGAGACUCGGUGAUAGUUCUUUUCAUUUUUAGUAUUAUUUGGGUUUGAGCUUCACUUGCUCAAGAUAGUCGUUUCUGUUCACUCAGGCACAGUUUCAGUGAAUUUGUGAAACCUGUUUCCAGUAAAGGAAUUUCUAUAGAAGACAUCCAUCUUAGUUCAGAUGACUGGGAAAUGUACAUAGAUCUUGCUCCAUUUUUGAAUCCUUCUCCAUAUGUUGUCCCUGAGGAUAUGUCAUUAACCAAGGUGAAUGGCAUUUCUUCUAUUCUUUUAUCAUGUUGCAACCUGUAAGUGUGGUUUGUGCAUCUCCAUUUUUGUAUGAUAAAUUAUGCAUUUUUCCAAUGGAACAGGUAUAUAAUCUUUUCCGUGAGCUAGGAUUGAGACAUAUAUUUGUUGUACCCCGUGCUUCCCGUGUGAUUGGCUUGAUUACCAGAAAGGAUUUGUUUAUCGAGGUAUGCUGAUGUCAUUAGCUUUUUAUGUGUUUUUACUUUAACUGGACCAUGUAACCAUUGCCUCUGAUGGUUUGUAUUGUAGGAUAAUGAGGAUUCAACCAGUACGGAGCUCCAAUCAACUAGUGUAAGGUCUCUAUGCUGCUUUACUCGUGUUUAUUUCUAAUUUUCUAUACAUCAGAAAUUGUGAAUUUCUUUGAGGGCAAGAUAAAUCUUAUUGCUUGGGCACUAUCUCCAAUGUAUAAACAUCAAGUUUCUUUAGAGGCCCAUGGACUCUGUUGAUUAUUUUGGUGCCAAAUAGUCGCGUAUUGUGGCUGAGGCCCGAAAUUCAUAGAUGAAUAAUGGUGCCAUCAUUAGAAGUUUGCGUGGUAGACAGGCAAGAGAAGUUCUUGUGUCCAUGAAUUGGAUGUAGAAAGUGAUGGCAGAACUGGGUUUGGAUUUUCAGAUGACUUGCUAACUGAAUUUACUGCCAUUACUGGCAUAAACAUUGUCUGCAUAAUUAUGCUGGUGAAGUGUUGCAUUGCUUGGUUUAUCUUCAACAUCUUGAUUUUGUUUCAUUGAUUAUCUGGUGGCAGAGCUCCUCAUUUAGAUAGAAGAAUGUUCACUAGGAAUAUGGAUAUGGAGCGCCCCCUUCUCAACGGUCUUCUGGUCCAAAAUCAUGUGCCUGGUUGAAAAUGCUAUGCAAUUCUUGGGAUCAGAUUCCUGGCUGAUACAGCUUACUAAUCAUAUUCUUUCCAUGAUCCAAUUUUUUCCCGACAUCAGAUUACUUCUUCAGUAUCAUCUCCAAAAAUCAUACUAGUUUUGUAGGUUUUAUGUUGUCCAUUACUUGAUACUCCCUUUCAUACAGGGGUCAUGUACCACACCCAUCUAUUAUUUGUACUUGUGUCUGAAUGCAAAAUGAUGGCAAAGGAAGGUUGGAGAGGUUUUGGUGCAUUGUAAAGUCCUUGAUCAACGAAAAAUGCUAUACAAAAUAUUGCUACGCUUUAACGCAUGCAAUUGAAUUUCUUUUUAUAUUUGGUAAACCUGAAAAUGUGAAUAAUUAUGUGACUAUCAGUUUGUUAAUUUUAUUUAUACGGCGGUGAAUUUUUACAGGAUUUUAUUUUAUGAAAAAUGAAAAUUUUUAUAUUUUAUCCUAAAAAAAUCAGUUUAAGUUUGACUUGAGAUGGUUUUAUACUGGGCCUGUUCUGGUUUUGGUCGGUCCAAACCUAGAACCCCAUAUCAAAUUGCGGGUGAUUAUCCCAAGCGUUCAGCAUAACCCCUGGACUUCUGCGUUUCAAUUUUUGAGACCCAACAACUUUUCUUUAAUCUGUUUUCCAAACAAGUUGUAACUUAGUCUGUUGCAAGUAACGGCUGUUGAUUUGGCAAUUUACAAAGCUGUAACGAGAACCAGAAUUGUUGAAGUUGCCUACUUAAUCGCUUAUUUUGAUUGACAGGUGAAUGUGCAUUUACCGCUUUUCAAGAUCGUCCAUUAUUAUUCCUGAAUGGAUGGUAGCCUGGUAACGAAAAAAAUUAUAAUUUGUGGUUUUCAGUUUACAAUUUUUUAUUUUAAAGAUAAGUAGGAAAAAUAAUACCACAGCACUUACAACUGAAUAAUUUGUAAUUAAAAACCAGCAACAGCAACGAAUGCGCGUAAUUUUUUUUUUCCUCUUCAGAUUUUUGUUUCCACCAAUGGGUAAGUUGAUAACAUAAUCUCGAUUCUCCUUAAUUAAUUUCCCUUCAUCAAGUUUUAGCACUAUUGUUAAUAAUAAAAUUUAAUGGAAAAGUAUUUGUUAAAAUUAUAAAGAUUAUUUAAUAUAUUUCUGAAAAUAUAGAAAUUUAAUUUCACUAUAUCAUAAUAAUUUUGAUGAUUAAUAAAAAAGUUUUUUUAUAUAUAUAAUCGGCUUAGAUUUAAACACUAAUUUGAGAUCUAACAACAAUAGAAACGACUAAUAUCAAUAAACUAGAACCUUUUAGUGAAAGGCUAAUAUUAUUUUAGACCUAUAGUUUUAUCAAAAUUAAAUCAUCUAAACUAAAAAGACUUUAUAUUUUAUAAAAUUAUUUUUUUAUCAAAUAAAAUAUUAAUUAAUUUAUUUUUGUAUUGUCUAUAGUGACUAAAUAAUAUAUUGAUAAAAUAAUAUAUAUAAUUAAAAUUAUCAAGUAUAAAUAUUUUACAAUAUUAUUUACCAGCUUAUGGGCAAAAAGAAGCCAGAUGAGACUACAACUAUUUGUCCAAAUUAAGGAGAUACAGCCGGGAAUCUAUAACCUUUAUCUGUAAUGACAAUCUUAUCAACUAGUAUGAUUCCCUUGGUGUCAAAAUCCAGACAUGUUUACCUAAUUUUAAGAUCGAAGAAGUUACAAAAAGGAGAAGUUACAGUCAACUGGCUCUCCUAAGCAUACGGGAUGUCUAGUAUUGUUCCAAUCUUCAGUUAUUACAUGUCCUGUCUUUGAGUUUCUAAUUUUGACAGUUCUUGCAUUGUAUAUAAGCUCAUUAUUUUACGAGCAUUUUAGCAAAUACCCAGCACUUGCUUGCUUUGUUUAUCGCUUGCCUAAUCCUCGCUUAGUUUUAGUCAUCUCCUUCUGAAAAAGGUUUCUGGGGUUAACUGUUCUUUAGAGAAGCAAACAUGCCAGCCGUUGUAAUUGCUUCUGAUGGUGAUAUGCCGGAGUUCGAAGGCAAGAUAACAUUUACGGUAAUCGUAUGUGUGAUGAUUGCAGCUUGUGGAGGUCUCAUGUUUGGCUAUGAUAUUGGAGUUUCAGGUAAUACACUUUUUUUUUCCCCUUCAGUACGCAUCUGUUUGCAUGCGAACAAUCAAUGGUUGUUUUUGUUAUGUGGAAUUUGCAGGUGGGGUUACAGCCAUGGAUGACUUCUUGGAAAAAUUCUUUCCUGCUGUUUAUGAAAGAAAGAAACAUGCCCACGAAAACAACUACUGCAAAUACGAUAAUCAAUUUCUCCAAUUGUUCACAUCUUCCUUGUAUAUUGCGGCUCUAAUAGCCAGCUUUUUCGCUUCAAGAACUUGCACAAAAUAUGGCAGGAAGCCAACCAUGCAGCUUGCUUCUAUUUUCUUCGUAAUUGGAGUUGCUCUAAGUGCCUUGGGAGUCAACAUCGAAAUGGUAAUCAUUGGGAGAGUUUUUCUCGGCUUGGGAGUUGGAUUUGCCAAUCAAGUAAGCUGGAAUUACAUGAUGUUUUUUUCUUCUAAGAAUGUUUUUCCUUGAAAAAUAAUGGUUCGUAUGCUAAUUAAAAGAGCAAUAAAAAAUCAUUUCUACAGGCAGUUCCUCUGUUUCUAUCAGAGCUAGCUCCUGUCAAGAUCCGAGGAGCACUAAACAUUUGCUUCCAACUCUUUGUAACAAUUGGAAUCUUGAUUGCCAAUGUGGUUAACUACUUCACUGGAAAAAUCCAUCCACAUGGUUUUAGAAUUUCUCUUGGACUUGCAGGCCUACCAGCUUUAAUGCUAGGACUAGGUUCAUUAGUUAUCGUGGAGACUCCAACGAGUCUUGUGGAGCGCAAUAAACCAGAAGAGGGUAGGGCAGUGCUUAAGAAGAUCAGAGGCGCAGACAAUGUUGAUCUUGAAUUUGAUUCCAUAGUGCAUGCCUGUGAGAUUGCUAGGCAAGUAACCGACCCAUAUCGUAGACUCAUGAAGAGGCCAAGCAGGCCACCACUAGUGAUAGCCAUCUUGCUACAAAUAUUCCAGCAAUUCACAGGGAUCAAUGCCAUUAUGUUCUAUGCACCUGUUCUCUUCCAGACUGUAGGAUUUGGAGAUGACGCUUCUUUGCUUUCAUCUGUUAUAACUGGCAGUGUCAAUGUUCUAUGCACUAUGGUUUCAGUCGUCGCUGUAGAUAGAGCUGGCAGGAGGAUUCUGCUGCUUGAAUCUUGUGUGCAAAUGCUCGUUACCCAGGUUAAUUAAUUUCCAAGUUUCCCUUCCCCUCCUCUCUCUCUCUCUCUCUCUCUCUCUCAAUAGUAGUUAUUUCAAGUUCUCAGACAUUUUAUUAUAUAUGCAGACUAUCAUUGGAAUUAUCCUGAUGAAGGAUUUGAAAGCUACCGGCGAUCUACCAAGUGGAGAAGCUUUAAUUGUGGUGGUCAUGGUGUGUGUAUUCGUUGGUGGGUUUGCAUGGUCAUGGGGGCCUCUAGGUUGGUUAAUUCCAAGCGAGACUUUCCCUCUUGAAACAAGAACAGCUGGGUACUCUUUCGCUGUGAGCUCUAACAUGCUCUGCACCUUCAUCAUCGCACAAGCUUUCUUGUCGAUGUUGUGCAAAAUGCAAGCAGGGAUCUUCUUCUUCUUUGCAGCUUGGAUCAUUGUAAUGAUGUUGUUCGCCUUCUUUUUCAUCCCGGAGACAAAGGGCGUCCCUGUAGAUGUCAUGGUUGAUAAAGUAUGGAAGCAACAUUGGUUCUGGCGUAGAUUUUUUGAUGAAGAGGGAGAUGAACACGUCAAGGAACAGCCUGACCUCAUUCCUCCAUACAUGACAUGAACAUAAAUCAAAUGGAAAUCAACCAUCCACAGUAGAGAGACCAGAACCGUUCUGAAUUCAGAAUUACGUCAAUUAUGAAUGCCAUUGUACCGCGGUUCCAGCUUUUAAGGGGAGUUUUAGAAUAUAAUCCUGUAAUGUAAUCAAUGCUUAUUAAAAUUAUUGUACAUAGAAUUAUUGAUUCAAUAAAUUCUUCUUAUCUACAGUGAGGAAAAUUUAUUAGUUUUUUUGCACUUUUUAAUUAAAACAAAUAAGGGAUUCCUAAUGUACACUUAGGUCGUCAGCUUUUAGCCACUCUUUAACACGUAGGGAAAGUUGUACAAUUUUUUUUAACAUGUAAUUGAUAAAAAAAAUUUUAAUUUAACUUAAAGCAUUUAUUGAAAUUUGAUUCUAUUUACCAAAUAUCAUAUAUAAAUUAUACUGGUUAUUAUUAUUUGCCCUGAUUAAUUAACACUUUUUAUUUCUCUCCCCUCUCUUUCUCAUGUUUCUUCCUCUCCCUUCAAUCUUUUCUGAUAAUCCAACCAACCAUGGUGAUUAAGAAAAAAAGGUAGAUGCAUUCAUUUUGAUUUCAAGAUUGUGAAUUAAUGUUUGUCCAUUGCAAAAUAGAUAGAAACGGUCAGAGAGAGAAAGGAAGAGGGAGACAGGGGUAGGUGGGUGGACGGCUAAGUAUUAAUUAUUAAUUAAAUAUAGUAAAGAUCAUAAAUAAAAUAGUAAUUUAACUUUUGAAAAUUAUAAUAAAUAGUCUUUUUUUUUUCCUUCAUUAAUUAUUUUCCAUUUUGAAAUGUAUUGCUUCAGUAAGCUUCGGUCUUUUCAAUUGAAGUUGAUAAUCUCAGAUAAUUAUACGAGAAUGUAUAGAACAUAAUGGAAAUCCCUUUAGCAGCUCUCAUCAAUACACUUGAUCAAGAUCUAAUACAAUUAUUGUAUUACUAAUCGACCCAACUCAUGAGCCCUCUCAAAGUUUCACCAAGCACACUUCUACUUCUACUCAAGCAAAAUUGAAUACGAAAGUUCCCAGAACAGCAACUGUCAGAGCAAGCUUACCAAAAGGCUUGAAUAAAAUGGCACUACUGGGGGAAGGGCCUGGUACUCUGGCGGCUGGAACUGGAGGAGAGAGCGUAGAAGGAGGAGAAGAAGAAGAAGCAGGAGUUGGAGCCAUGUCUUCUUCGUUACGAGGCACGUUAAUGUCAACCUUCUGCCCAGCUUGGCAGUGGCCAGGGACACCGCAGAAAAAGAAGUGGUGGCCACGAGUUUUUAAGGUGAUUGAAUCGUUGCCUGUGGUAUAGGUUGCCAAAGGGGCAGAGGCGUUGCAUGCCUUGUACAUGGCGUGUGUUACUCGCAUUACGUUGUGAAACUGAGAGUACUUAAAAACUGAUUACAAGCAAAAGAAACAUGUUAGUAAGUAGAAGCUUUUAGAUACUACAACCCAUGAAUUACAAUAAAUUCUUAAUAUUAUAACUAAUUAGUGCCAAAUGUUUAAAUUUUAUCAAUGAUAAAUCUCCUCUAUUUAACAAUUUAUUAAUUUUGUUUACAAAUUAUAAAAAUUAAAUGCUUCUUUGUAUUAAUUUUUAAAAAAUAAUAAUAAAAUUAUGCAAUUUAGUAUUUCCUUUAAGAAUAUAUAGAAAUCUAUUUCAUCUCUCAAAAGCUAGUUUAAAAAGAGCCUACAAAAUUUCAUAAAAGUAUAUUGUCAAGUAUCUUAAUCGGAUUAUUAUAAUUUAAUCUGUCUAUACUUAUUUUUUUUUAAAAAAAAAAAAAAUACAGUGUUGCACUUUUUUUUUUUCUCUCUCGGAAAAACAAAAGUUUAUGUCCGAAAGUUUUGUAAAAAGCAACACUUUCAUGGAGAACAAAAAAAAAUAAACAUUUAAAACUAUACUAGUCUUUUUUAGGUAAUUUUUUUAAAAAACCUAUAAAGAGACUAAAGUUAGGAAAGACAAAUAUUAAGAUGCUGACUUUAAAAAGAAAAACCACUAAAGUUCACAAGUCUCUUUUUUAACCCCUUUCUAAAUGUUUCCAUUUCAAGAUUGUAGCAGUAAAAAAACAUCAUAUAUACGAUCAAUCGGCAAUGGAUGCGGACACUCUACCAAAAUCCCAUCAAUUGUUAAAUGGGUCCAAAGAAAGAGGGCCUAGCAGACAUUAUCAUACGAGUGCACAGAAUAAAAGAACAAUGCUUGUAGCUUGCAGCCUGUAAUAGUAUAAAUAUUGUCUGCAGCCUGCCAGUCUGUUUAUUGGCUUGGUUUGGUCUUUGGUGGGAUGGGAUGUGGACUUUAACAGUGAAAGCCAUCAUGCACUGAAGCAUGCCAAAACAGGUGGAGAGCUAUCGUGGGACAUUAUGUGGAAGCACUGUGGCCCACCGUAUCAUCAUUAGACCCUAGCAAGUGGAGACACUCGGUUCAUCAACACAUCAAAUAACAAGUGUCAUCCACGCUGUCUCCUAACCUAAGUUCUAUAGUGGUUAAGUGCAUUUUCCAGGCCAGAAUUCCAAAGGACAACCUCGGAAAUUGCCCAUAUCUCGGGCACUAUUGAGAUUAAAAAAAAAGUACCAGAAUGCCAGAAUUUUCUUUCUCUUGGGUCUUUCGGAUCGAAUCAAAGAGAACAUUGGGAAUUUGCCGGAAAGAAAGAAGCAUAUGAAUAUUCAACUGCAGCAGAUCAUCCACUGAAAAAAACCAUAAACUCUAACAAAGCUAGAGACGAGUUUAUUUGAAUUAAUUAAAGAACUCAGAGAUAAAGAUCUAAGAGAACAUUAGAAGCAAGCAUGGAAUGGACAUGGAAAAGGGAUCAAGACAAAACAAAAAUAAGAAAAAAUGAAAGCCAAUUCCCAAUGUCAAGAUUCGAAGAAAUUAAUUACCAAUAGUGUCGCCAACUUGAAAGGUCUUAGUAGCAGCCCACUGUUUGUAGUCAACAUUGCCAAUGGUGGUCCAACCAGCUGAGUCCCCAACUUUGUAUACAGCUGCAUCUAUCAUCCGAAACAACGCCAUCGCCAACAUCAAAACCACAGCUCUCUUGCCCAAAUCCAUGGCUGCGAACUGUGAUUUGAAGAUUCCUGAUGGUUUUCGUUCGGGUUCGGGUAUGAGAAGUGGAGAAGUUUUUUUUCCUACUUGAGGCUUUUAUAAAUCUUUUGGACUUACAUGGGUUUGGACGUUGGUCCUUGUAACAUCAUCAUUUAUUGAAUUCAGUUGAAUGAGACUUUGGUACCUUUACUUUUUAUUAUUUGAAAUUUUAGGAGCCUUUUUAUGGUAAUUUACAAAAAUGGUCCUGUUUGGGGGAAUUUGCUAAAUUAUCUGUAUCAAAAUUUUUUAAUGAAUUGAUAUGCUUUAUUUAAUUAUCAACAUAUAUGCUAUGUGAAGUAGCUGAAUUCCAAGUACCUUUAUAUUCUUAAUAGAAUUUUAAAUUAAGAACUAAAGCUAUGUUGUUGAGAUGCAAGAAUUAUUUUUGGUUGCCUUAAACAUUUUUCCUGCAGCUGCUUUUAUAACUUUGAAACGCUUGAAAGGAAAGAAUGUUGGGAUGGGAACUGCAAAGGAAAGCUGCUGGUUGCUGGCAUAUAGGUAUUUUUAUUGGUUAGUAUCAUAAUGGCCAUACCCACCAUAUUAUUUUUUCCUUCCUGUUCAGCAAUAAUUUAAAAUAUUGUUGCUUUCUACAUAUGGAUGAAGUAAGAACCUUGCUACCUACACUAUCCCAUAGCACGUUACAUGCACAUACCUGCUUUCUCGAUUAUUAUAUUUCUGCAUUUGUCUCCGCUAGUCCAAUAAAUUGGCAAACAUGGGCCGAUUGGGAUGCCCAGUUCACUUUGAAGAAAGGGCCCAAUGAGGCAUUUGUUUUCACACUUUGAAAAAGAAAAAUGGAUAUGCUGCGUAAAUAAUUAAUACAAAUUUACACAUAGAUACUACCAAUAGAGAAGAAACACGUGUUACAAAAACAUAUAUGGCAUAUCAUUCAUGAUAUUGUAUGUUUCCUAUACAUGUACAUAGUCUAAUGCGUAGACCAAAUGUGUCUUGUUAAGUUUACUAUACCUUAAAACCUCUCUAAAAUUCAAAACUGGUUGACAGGUUAAAUCCAAUCGCACAGCCAUUUUUCUGUGAUUUCUGAUCAUUAAUUUCAAUUCCUACAUCCUCAUUGUCAUCCAUGAAUCUCUUCCAGAACCAAUGCUGCUUCCACACUCUCUCUGUCAUCUCUUCAAUUGGAAUAUUUUUGGUCUCCGGUACCAGGAAAAAUACGAAAAAUGACAUAAUAAACACCCAGCUGGAGAAGAACAAGAAGAUGCCAUAUUUGAAGUGGCAGAGCAUGGAGAGGAAGGACUGCGCUAUAACAAAAGUGAAGAGCAAGUUGAUACAAACGGUGACACUCUGACCAGCUGAGCGGGUCUCCAAUGGGAAAGUUUCGCUUGGGAUUAGCCAUCCAAGUGGUCCCCAAGACCAGGCAAAGGCAGAGACAAAAGUGCACACCAUAAUAACCACCAAUAUUGCAAACCCACGAUGAAGAUUAACAGAGUGGUCUGUAACCUUGAUUCCUAGGAUUACUGCUAUUAUCACUUGAGAGACAAACAUUUGGAUGCCAGCCUCCAAUAGCAGCAUCCGACGGCCUACUUUGUCCACCGAGUAGAUGGAUACAACGGUAGAAAUAACAUUGACAGCACCUGUUAUAACAGCUGAAUACAGGGAAGCAUCGUUGCCGAAUCCUACUGUGUCGAAUAGAACAGGAGCAUAGAACAUUAUCGCAUUGAUGCCUGUGCAUUGUUGGAAGAUCUGUUUCAACCAUUCAAAUAAAGUUAUCAUGACUGGUAGAUAUUAAACAUAUUGUUAUAUGAUCUUUGGAUAAUUUAACUAUUGUGCUUCUUAACCAAUGUCUCACUGAGAACGUACUGACCUGCAAGGCUACUGCUAUAACCAACUGGGGGCGGUUCCUCCUCUUCAUGAGAUUCCUGAAGGGAUGCUUCACUUCUUUGGCCGCACGGCUUGCCUCAACAAGCUCCUGGAACUCUGGUUCAAUAUUGUUUGUGCCUCGAAUCUUUCUCAGGACUGAUAUUCCUUCUUCCAAACGGCCACGCUCAAUGAGGCUGUUAGGAGUUUCUGACACUAUGAGAGACCCUAAAGUCAAGAGAAGUGCUGGAACGCCAGCCAAUCCCAACGACAGUCUCCAACCCCAUCCUCCUUUAAUUCUGUUCAUCAACAACAGCAGCAGUCAGCAACAAUAUUAGAACUUAGCCGAAACUGGUGCUCGUAACCUAAAAUUAAUUAAGCCCAACUAGACAAAUCGUCUCAUAAUUGAUGCGUCGUUUUGUCUAAAUUAAUUUUUCUUAUUUGAACUCUCUAGAUAUGCCUUCUACGUUUCAUAGUUACUGGCCCCCAUUUCUCAUAAAUCAUAAUAUGAACUUUGCUCAGUAGAACAAUCUGAGCGACACUUGAUUAAACAGAGAAGAAAACAACUAUAUCAUAAUUUUCAGAGAGCAAAUAAUUAUUCUUUUCAAGUAUCAGAAGCAGAUACAGAACCACUGUUGUCAAUAGUGGGGAAGGCUGGAUAGAAACAUGCAAAAGAGGAGUCGUCAGCAGAAAAUGAACAACAAGGCGAAAAAAUAAUUUUCAUUUUUUUGACAAUCCCCAUAAGUGAUACGUGUAUUGUGACUGUGGGCAUCGUGCUUAUAAUAUUCUGGGUAACGGCGACUAAGAAAAAUUAAUUAUUCUACAAGAAUAUAACUUAUUUGUUUGUUUCCUCGCUAGAAUUCAGGUUCCUUUCGCAAGGAGAUAAAAAUAAAGUCAUUAAGAGAAAGAACUGAAGCUUACUUAGCUGUCCCGUAAUUGACAAGGUUAGCAAAAAGAAUCCCGAUAGUGACGUUAAGCUGGAACAGGAUGUUUAGGCCUCCACGUAUUCUUGUGGGUGCUAUCUCUGAUAGGAACAGAGGCACAGCCUGUUCAAAUUGAAAUUUUAAUCAUCAAAUAAACAAAUCAACUUAUUUGUCGUUGCUUAACAAGUAUAUAUAUUCCUAUGAUCUUUAUUAAUUUCAUAUGCAUUAUUAUAUGAGAUUUUCUUUGUCUUACUGAAAUAAAAUCAGAUUUCAUGCUUCAAAGUCAAACGAUGGUUUGAAGCUCAAUUGAUAACUUCAACUUUUAUACUUCGAAGACUGAUCUUAAAUUAUUUGACCCAAAAUUUCUAAACUUUCAACUCAAAUAAUACUGGAGUUACAAGACUUCAUAACUUUGAAAAUCCUGUAAAUAUAACUGAACUAAAAUUUUAUUAAUUCAUAUCUUGCAUUAUUGAUCAAGUAUCUAAUACUAACCUACACAAGGAAAGACAAAUCCUCCAAAUUAUAUCCUACCAUUCAUUUUUAAAUUGAAGGGCAGCUAUUACGUGUGCUUUAUGUUCAUUUUCAGGCAGCUGAAAGGUCCAUGAAAAGACAAAAAAGAUAAGAUAAAAACAAUUCAAAAAUAUGUCUACAGCGCAAGCGAAUUAAAUGGUCUAACUCUACAGCCUUGGCAAUUCGCCAUCACGUUAUUCGGGGGGACAAAAAAAAAAAAAGAGACUUUUCAGAGGAAAAUGAUUCUCAAAAGCAAAAAGGAAGAUACAAAGAAACAAGUGGGUUUUGCAAGCAACUUUUUCCGGACAAAUCCAACCAAACAUCUUUUUCAUAUGAUGCUUUCUUAAACCAAGCCAAAAGAAACAAAAGAGUUCUUUAUCACAUGUAAGAAAAGUUAAAAACCACAUUUAAAGCCCGGAAGUUAACUUAACAUAUUCAAGUCCUCUAAGGCUGAACUACCUGUUCUGCUGUUCACCACACUCCACACAGUUUGUAUUUGGCUGGCUGAAAAUUAAAGCCUUCGGUAAACAGAAAACAGGCGUAUCCCAAAAAUUUUCUUUUAGUGUUGAGCUGUGCUAUUAUUCAUGUGGCACUCUCCAUAAAAAGGUUUUUAAUAUGAUCUACUAAAUGUUAUAAAUUAAUUUGUAAGAUUUAAGAAUAGAUCUUCACUAAUGUUCGUUAAAUCAUAUUUUAAUGAAUUAAUAUUGAAGAGAUUAAUAAUUCAAAUAAAUAGAUUAAAUUAGAAUUUUAGGAUUUCUUAAUUAUUAUAACUAAUAGAAAUACUUUUUAUUUAAAAUAUGAUUGAUAAAUAUAGAGAAAAAAAAAACUACAAGUUGAAAUCCUAAGAUUAUCACCUUCCUCAGAAAGCACCCAAACAAAAUGAUCAAUUCCCAUGUUCCACUGUUGACUUGAUUUUGUGAAAAAUGACAAAUACGCAUUAUUUUCCAAUUUUGACUAGCUAGCUAGGUUCCUGAUUCUUGGAAAAAUAAGUAAGAAAUAAUUGUGUAAUAAAGAAAUUAACCUGAUUAGCAAAACCGACACCACAGCCCAGUAAAAUCCUGCCAAUGAUGAGCAUGGCAAGGUCUUGAGCUGCAGCAUUAAACACCACACCAACAAUGAAGAAAAUCCCAGCAAUCAACAUGGUUGGUCUCCUGCCUAACUUUCUAGUGGUGUAGGACGCAAAGAAAGUUGCUAUUAAGCCAGCCAAGUAGAGUGAAGAUGUGAACAAUUGCAACCCUUGGUUAUCAUACUUGCAAUAGUUGCUAUUGAGAGUAGGAUCCUUCGUCUUGUUAUACACAGUGGGGAAGAAUUUUUUCAGGAAAUCGGGCAUCGACGUAACUCCCCCUGCAUCAUACAUCGAUAAGUAAUUAGUUUCAUAUAAAAUCUUUAAAUAACAAUUUUGAGGUUUUCUUUUUUUUAAAUUUCUUGGUUGAAGUGUAAUCGAUAACAGUCAUAACAAGCUUCAAUAUGGAUUCAAAUUAUUCAUCAACUUCUGACUUAAACGAGCAGCUACAGAGAGCUUUUUUUGGGUCAGGGAUUCUCAUAUAUUCUGACCAAGUAUAUUUUUUCUGAUUCCGAGACUACCCAUAUGUCAUUCUCAUAAGCACAGGAAUUAUAUAGUAAUCUUAAAGGCAACAAGACCAUGUCGGCAUCGUGGAGCUCCCCUCUGACGGGAGGAAAGUUACUUUCUUCCUUAUUUUACAAUACUUUUCCAUUAAAACCUCAAAAACUUUAAAAAUCAAAGUAAACGAAAAUAAUAAUAAUGAUUAUAACAAUAACAACCUCCAUUUCAAAAAAAAAAAACAAUAAUAACCUGAAACUCCAACGUCGUAACCAAACAUGAGGCCACCGGUGGCAGCCAUUAUGCAGGAAAUGAUGACGAUCGGCGUUAUCUUAGCCUCGAACUCCACAUCUCCGGACGGCGCGGCAGCGAAACCUCCAGCGGGCAUGAUUGUGGAUCAAAAUCGAACAAAAACUAAAGAGAAAAUCUCUUAUAUAUGGGCUUUCACAAACUACUGGGCACAACUUGUAUUGUGAUGAAGAAGAUGAUGAUGCAAAUAGGUGCAGACUGCAGGGUUUAUAUAGACGCGAAAAAGAGUAGAAAUGACAGUGUACGAGUAAUGGAUGGCGUUGGUAGGACAGCCUUCACCCUUCAGAUCUUUCCACGUGGCUAAUCCUAUUUUUUUAUAUACAUAAAUAGUUUUUUCUACGGCGCGUUUCUAAUCAAUCAACGGCUCUUAUUACAUCUUAAGCUCAAAUUUAGAUAUGGAUAUAGAAUUUCUUUUUUUUUUUAAUCAUCGUGUGUGCGAAAUGAAACUGACGUGUAGUUGAAUUUAUUUGUGAGAAGAAGGGUUUAAGUUUAAAGAUUAAAUGAAAUGGUGACAGAAGAAGUUAAAUAUAAGAUAAAUUAAGAAGGACUAUGACUGAAAGUUGUGAAUUUAAUUGAAAAUUAAAUAAAUUGAUACCAUCUCGUGAAAGUAAUAAAGUAACUACGUAAAUAAGCGUAUAAUUCAAUAAUUCCACUUACAUAAUGGUUUCAUUUAGAAUGGUUUCUGAUAUUCUUAGAUUCAGAUAAUAAAAUUUAUAAUAGUCGUUCAAUGGUUUCAUGACACAUAAUGGUUUUUUUACUAUAGUGUCAUGUGCCUCUAUUAUAUAAGUCUCAACAUACAAAAACGUCAAACGUCCUAUUUAUGUUAGGUGACUAUUUAAUUUUCCUGACACAUGUAAAAGCAAGGCUACGAAAUGAUUGGACUUACUGUCCCUCUCACGUCACAUCAUCGGACUGAGUCUGUAGUGAGUGGACUUAAAUUUAUGGGUGAUCUGAUAUAUUCUAUGAAUCUGAAUCAAAACUUUGGACUUAGACUGUUUUUUGAGGUCCGGCCUUAUAACGAGAUGAUGAAACUCAGCGGUGAUCAAUUUUUUUUUUUAAAAUAAUAAUAUUAUUUUUUAAAAUUUUAUUAAUACUAUUAAUAAUAUUUUUUUUCAUAUAUUUUUUUUUCACAAUUUUUUCUAUCUCUAUGAUAUAUUUAUAAUAAUAAUACUAAUUCUACUGACUAAAAGAUGUAAAUAGUAUUUUUAUUAUUAAUUUAGUGAAAAAAUAUCGAUUUAUAUUAAUUUAUGACACAUUUUUUAUUAUCAUUUUAUAUUUAAUAGUUUAUUUUAUAUUAAAUAGUUUUAUUUUAAAUUAUUAUAUAAACUAUUAAUAUAUAACAUUUAACUGUUAGUGAAACAAUUAACUGUCUAUUAAUAAAAUAGUGAAAGGGUGUUCAAAAUUCAAAUCACACAUAUAGUGAGAAUGCCUAACAACCAGCUUUUCCAAAUAUGAUAGGAAUUUCCAUCAGCUGCUUUAACAACAAUAUUUUGAACAAGAAAAGACAGCAAAUUCAUCAGAAUGCUAAUAAUAUAUGGGAUAAAUUUUGAAUUGCCUCGUGCAAUUCCACAUUCAAAGAAGCCAUCAAUUGCUCCAAUGAAAAAAGAAAAAAAAAAUUACAAUACAUAUGUUAUCAUUGAAUUAAAGUCUAUUCCCUCAAAUUUGCUUUGUAAAUUCCAACCAGUUUUUGUCAUCUUAAUAUUUAGAUAAAAUAAAAUUGGACUUUAUAUGAGGUCUUUAAUCAUUGAAUACAAUAGAUUUUAGGAUAAAAAUAAAAUAAAAUAAAAUAAUGUUUCCCUGCUACUAAUAAUUAAUUAAUUACAUGAGAUAAUGUGAGAUAGACAAUGACAUCAUUGGAUGAUAAAAUGUCUGGACUUUGGAUUUUUGGAGACACCAAUUUUGACCAGGUUUGACUUUUGAGUGGUCCAAAACCCUGAAAACAGCGUUACAAGGAGUAAACCAGAAAAUUGUUAUCUACUUAUAAAACAUUUUAACCGCACUGUUAUUAAAAUAAUAAAUUCCAUAAAUUGUUAAAUAUUUAAUCAGUUUUAUUUUUUUUUUAACGAUAUAAAUUAUAUUCCUAGGCCAAGAUAAGAAUUAUAAGGCCCAAAGUUUAAAUAUAACCAAAGGCCCCUAGGGUUUUAAAAAUAAAAUACAAUUAAUUAAGUCAAUGAACUCUAGGACUUAACCCUGGAUCGACAUUCCAAAUUUGUUUCACGCAACACAACACUGCUCCUCCGUUGCCACAAGAAUUUCCAAUCACCAUGAAGCCCAAUUAAUUGCGCAAAAGAGCCAUCUCUUGCAAUCAUAGGUAUAAAAUCAUAAGAGCCAACUGAAGAACAUAGGACAAAUAGCCAUCAUAAAACUAAAAACUCCAAAGCAAACCAAUAGAUCUUUUUCUUGCUUCUAAGAUUUAUAUACAACAGGAGGAAAAAUAAAACUUAUCAAGAUUAUUUAUUCACAAUUCAGUCUCUACCAGAGAAAGACUAUUUCAUGUCCAAAUAAAAUAAAGGGUAGUUAAAUAACUAAUAGAAUAAGUAUAAAGUUUUUCGGAGAAAUAUUAUUAUCAUUUGAUUCUUUUGAUAUCUCAAACGAAAUGAAAAAAUGAGAAAGGUGGGUUUUAAAGUAAACUCAUUUUCUUGGCUGAUGCCUUGGUAAAAUUUUAACAUAAAAUGACUAAAUUAAAUAAAAUGUUUUCAGCCAAUGAAUGAUCAUGUAGUAUAGUAUGACUCAUUCAUCAUCGAUUGACGGAUCACACAUGCACAACCAAAAAUGCUUUUUUUUUUUAAAAGAAAAAACAUAAUGGAGAAAGGUAAGGUAUACCCAUAGUUUAAAUGUGAUUAAACUUUUUAUUUUUUAGAUAACAAUGCGCUUCAUAUAUCAUUAAUUAGAGAAUAUAUAAUUGUAUUAAUUCAUAAAUAGUCUGAAUUUGUGUCAUAGAAUCGGGCCAGGGCUUAGAUGGAAUUGUGAAGCAUGGUUAUGGGCUCAGGAAGAGAGGUGUCAUUGGGCCAAAGAACAAGGCUUAAUCUAUCCAUUUUGUUAUUUACCAUUUAUGCUUUUAGUUGUUAUUUACUUAAUGAGCUGAUGGAAUAUUCCUAGCUGUCAAGUUAGUUAGUAAUAUGAUUAUAUAUGAGUCAGUACUGAACGGCAUUGUCAGUUUUUUGGAUGAAUACAAUUAUUCUCUUUUCUCAUCUCAAAUUCUUAUCUUAAUUUCUUCUCUCUCUUUUCUCUUUCUUGUUCUACAAUCCUUCUUAAUUUACAAAUCUAUAACAAUUUGCUAGGCCAUAAAGAUAUAUAUAUUUUUUUUACUUUUUUAAAUGGGUCUCACAAUUUGUGAUUUUAAAAAAAUUUAUGUAAAAUAAUAAAAAAAAUAUUAAGAGUCUAUUAAAAAUAUUUUUAAUGAAAAUUAGCCCACAUUCAAAUUAAAUCUGAAAAUUUAGAGUUAAAAUUUUUAUAAUUGAAGAUGUAAGAAAAAAAAACUAGUGAAAAAGCUUAAUUUAAACAACUAUUUGAAUAAAAAAUGCUAUUAACCUGAUAUUAUAAUAUGGGAAAUAAGAGCAUGGGCCACUCUACACUUUUUAAAUAAAUACUAAAUUUUUAAUUUAUUCAAUUUAAUUUUAAAUUCAACCCGUACGACACUUAUCUCACCUAAAUUCCAUCUUUGUGGAAAAGCAAUUGCCCGCAAAAUUCGUCUGCCUCCCCCGCCCCUUGACACCAAAUAUGAAUAAUGAGAACGGGGAGAGCAAUCCCUACUACAAUAUAUUUGCGGCUAAAUUGAGUAUGGACCUGGCUUAAGGCCCACGACCGUUUAACGGUUUUCUUUCCUUUUGUUAUUUAAUUAUUUCUUCCGAGUGGUGAGUGGUCCAUGUACCUGCUUCAUUGUUCAGCCCCACUUUCGGUUGGUCUUCCCUCUUUUGAAUUUAAUGGCUAAUUUAUUUUCAUUAUAUAAAAUGAUAAAUAAUAUCUCGUAUAUAAAAAUAAUAAAUUUCUAAAAGUACACAGUCUCUGAGAAAAUUGGGAGAUCAUUGGAUCGAAAAAUCCCAUACCCAAUUGCAGCUAUUGCUAAAUCAUUCAUCCAGAGACGGGAAAAAAAUAAUUAGAAAGAUAAUUAUGUAAAAGAAAAUUUAACCAAUCACCACUUGCCACAAUCCUAAAAACAAACCAUUGAGGGAGACAUGAUAACAAGCCAAAAUACCACAACACUGCACUUUCUCUAAGUGUUGCACGUGGUUUCAAAUCCACGUGUCACACGAAUGUCUCCGAUCCCUAAUUUCUCCUUUUUUACUUUUAUUUUUUUUUUAAUUUUCCAGUAAUACAAGCUUGCAUUUAGUGAUUUUACAUAUAUUUUUUUCUAAAUUUCACAUUUUUAUUGCAUUUAACAAGAUCUAACAUCUAGUAUGGUAACGGCACAAUAUUUACAUUUUAAAGGACUAUAUAUUUAGAUAUCAAAAUAUUUAUUAAUGCAAUAUUAUAUUCAGUGUAAUGAUAAAAGUAAUAAUCAUAUUUUAAAAUGUCAAUGUUACAUAUAAAAAAAAUACAUUUUUAAUAAUUUUAAUAUAAUUAUGUAAAAUUAAUUAUAAUUUAAUUAAAUAUAAAUUUAAUAAAAAUGUAAUUAUUAAUUAUGAAAUUUGAACUUAUUGAUUUUAUUUAAUUGGAAGUAUAAAAAAAUCAAUUUCUAUUUUUGUAACAAUGAAGAGAACUAAACGCAACAGUAUCUUAAAAGACUCAUAUUUAAUCUAUUUUAUUUAGAAAUAAAAAUUUCAGGAGGGAACUGUAGCCCAUCAGUAGACUAUUUCAAAAAUUAAAGAGGUUAAAUCAAACCAAUAACAAUCCAGAGCCCAACCCAAUCUGAAAGGAAAGUAAACGAAGCGCAACCCGCAGCCCACAUCGGCCAACGAUCCAAACCGAUACAGGAUGCACUGGGGAAUCGUUCCACCGCUCGCAGCCCAUCGUUCCAACAAGUCAUCAUGAAAGUUAGGAUUGAUGGCUUCUGAAUUUAUAAACUGAGUGCGAAACUGUGAUAUUUAAUUAGAGAUUAAUUAGUAAUUUCAAUUUAUUAUAUAUGGGUAAUAUAAUUAUACCCCAAUAAAUAAAAUAAUAAUGUUAGGUCAAAGAAAUCCAAUCUAUUUUUUUGAGGAUGGGCUUCUUUAAAAAAUUAAUGUUAGGUCUUAUUUGUAGCAUUGAUAGGAUCAUUAUUAUAAGACAAUACCAUACGUUGAUUAUUAUAAGAAAAAACACAAAGAAAAUGUUGCCCAACUCAUUGUAUCAUAACCACAGCCUUUGUCUCACUUGCGAUUUUAAAGUUUAGAUGAAAAUUCGGUUUUUUUUUUCUAAAUUUAUUGAGAUUAAACUUUAAUUUCCCCUUUCUUCAAAAAAGAAAAAGAGAUUCAAAUAUUAAAUUAAAGAAAAGUGGGAAAUUUCUCAAAUGUUUGUCUUUUUUUUCACCUGUCAAAGGUGUAAACAAAUAACCAAUAUUUAAAAAGAAAAUAACUAAAAGAAUGCAAUAAAAUGUAAAGUGGGUCCACAUGACUUGCAUGCCAGCGUAUAAAUAUUUGGUGAUCAAUUCAUUUAUUUAUUUAUUUUUUGAAAUAGGGGUGGUAGUAGAACCUUUCACCUCACAAGAUUAUAAGGAUGCACUUUUCACCAGAUUAAGUCUCAGAGUCCAAUUCAUUUAUUUAUUUUAAAUCGUUCCAUUCAGGUAUUUUUUUAAUAUAAUGUAAUGCACCCAUAAUUUUAGUUGCCAUUAUAAUAAUAAUAUAUCUUACGUAGCUUUUUAAAUUAGAUAGCAAUACCAAUUAAACAAUAGUCUAUAUGAUAAACAUUUCUUAGUUGUUUUCCAAUUUUUAUUAAGAAAUGUUUCUCAUAUCUUAUUCAUCCACUAAUUAAAUAGCAAGUGACGAGUCCAGCAAGAAAUGAGAUUAAUAUAUAUUAUCUUUUAUAUUACAUCCACGCAUAUUAUUUUAUUAUUAAAGUAAAUAAAUUUUCCUUUUCAAAUAUAUAUUAAAUUGAGUAUAAUUUAAAGUUAGUGUAUUUUUUUUAUAUCAAAGGAUAGUAUUUUAAUACACAAUUUCUAUAUAAAUUAAUCAACAAUUUCUACACGUCAGCAAUAAGUUGCCACCAUCUCGCGAAUGUGAAAUGAAGGGCAACGCAAAGAAAUAUAAUUUCUAGAUGAGAGAGGGAGAGGGCAGCUAAUGGGUGCGGGGCCCACGCUCCUUGGAAGUUCGUGACCGUGACUCGAGUUUCCAAACCAGUCCUUUUUUUUAUUUUAUCCGUCGGAUGGAAUGCGAUCAACGGUGGAGACUGCCCCAAAAUGCAUCCAAGACUAUUGGUUCGGUGCCAGCUCGGAUUUGUUUGUUGGUUGGAAUAUGAGGUUUGGGAUUUUAUUUAAAUGAUGCUAUGGCCACGUCAGAUCGGGAUCCAACGGCAUAAAUGCUUCAUCUGACUCGCUGUGCCAGAUCGGAUCCGUCCAAUUCCCCAAAUUCGGUUGCUUUCACGUGGACCCACUUGUCUUUUUUGGAAAUAUACUGUAAUUUAAUAUUUUAUUAUUAAUUAAAUCUGAUGAUUAAAAAAAUAAGAAAAAUAAAGAAACGUGGAACCGAAAUAAUGGAUUUGACCGGUUGGAACGAUAUUUUCUGCGGUCACCUAGAUUCCUUGUGAACGUCAUGUUGCUUUUACCAAGGUCUCGGUUACCGGCUAUAGCCAGUCACGACAUCUCCGUAGGAAAUUCAAGGGUAUAAUUAUUUUUUCUUUUGUUUCAACUUGAUCGCGAUUCGUGGGUAACCUUCUCACUAUUCGUAUGGUAUAGUACGAUUCCAAUAUUUAAUUAAUUUGGCAGGUAAUUAUUUUUUAUUUGUUAGAAUAAAAUAAUAAUAAUAAUAAUAAUCAAAUAGGCAGUAGCGAGGGAUGAACUUGGAAGCUUGAGGGUUAAGGAAAAAAGCUGACACGUGGUGAUAUUAUACAGAAAAGUUAAUAGUGCACGGAGGCCAGAUGUUUCAACGGUCCAGAUUGUGCCAUGCUGGUUUUGAUUAGUGCCAUCCGUUGGAUUGAGUUUUCAUCGAACGUCUCUGAUGAAUAUAUAUGUAGUAUAGCAAACAAUCAUGGCCGUCCAAUUAGGUCGAGAGUGGGUUUGGCUGAAAGUAAAAUAGCUGAAAAGAUGAGAGAAGAAGAUGCGAGCACAAAAAGAGGAGAGAGGAAGAUUUAAAGAGAAAGAGAGAGGAGCAAGGGGCGUAGGGAGAGGAUAAGUGAAAGCAAAAAUCUUUCAACUCUUAUUUUCUUGAAUAUCGUUUAUCAUACAGAACCAGCUAAGAAAGCUGAAUAUAGUUCUGAAUCUGCAAUUCCGGUGACCUACUUUACGUUUCCGGCAAACAAUGCUUGGUUACCGGUGAUGAGAGAUAAAAAUAAUACCAUUCUGUCUACAACGGAUUUCUUCUUUCGAAAAUUAAAACAGAGAUGGAGAGAAAUAGGGAAGCUAGAAGAGUAAGUAUGGCCGCGGCCAAUGGUUUAGCACCUAGAAGACGACAUAGAAGCAGCAGCAUAAGAGAUUCCCCAGGUUCAAAAUUUUUAUCAGAUCUAGCUAUUUGAUUACGAUGAAACGCCGUUUUCUGAAUUAACUUUUGCUGGGUUAUUGUGUCAUUGCAGAGGAUGAUGGGCCGGUGGAGUUGCAGGAAACGGCGAGGCUACGAGAUCGAGGGACUGGGAAAAAGGAUCGAGAUCGGGAUAGAGAGAGAGAGCGAGACCGAGACCGGGACCGGGACCGGGACCGGGAACGUGACAGAGAGAGGGACAGGGACAGGGACAGAGAUCGGAUGAGCAGCAGGGGCAAGAGAAGAAGAGGAGACAGGUUGAUGCACGGGAGCAAUAGAGAAGAUGGUGGCGAUGAGAGCUCAGAGGAGAGUGUAAAUGACGAUGAGGACGAUGAAGAUGAUGAUGGAGGUGGUGUUGGUAGCUCCAUGAGGAUGCUCCCACCAAAUCCUUCAUCCCUAUCUUCAUCUUCUAUGUCUAAUCAUCACCAUCGGAAAAGCUUCCCGCCGCCAGCGAAAGUUUUUAGAGCCGCGCCGGCGACGGCCCUAUGGAAGGCACCCGAUGAGAUGAUUGGCGUGUCGGUUCCUAGAAAAGCUCGGUCAGGUUGAGAUAUGGAGAGAUUCAAAUAGAAAAAGAUGUUGAUUUUAGUGGAUGCUUUAAUUUUCUCUAUUCUACCUUUGGUUAGUAGAUUUAAGAUUAUUGAGGUGUUUUUUCUGCUGUUUUAUUUUGCAGCUUCUACUAAGAGGUCACAUGAAUGGGCUUCAAGUUGUGGAGUAGGUAGUGAGCAAAUUCACCGGCAAGCUUCCACGUCUCCGGUGAGAUCGAGUGGACCAAGCGUUGCAGCGAUGUUGGCUUCGGCGUCCGCUUCCCCUGCUCCAGUCUCGCCGUCUUCUUCUAAUGCUUCGAUUAAGAAGAAGAUGGUGAGUCCUUGAUUUCUCAUCAUCUGGCAUCUGUUCUCUGAAUUUUGAUUUUUUUUUUUCCCUUUCUUUUCAGUAACGAUUAUGUUUUGCCAUUGUAGAAGCCUAAUGGCCCCAAGCAGAGGCUGCCAAAAUCUUGUACUAAGUUUACUUCCUCAGCUCAGGAGGAGAUUGAAAUCGAGAUCGCUGAAGUGUUGUAUGGAUUAAUGAGGCAGCCUCAAGUACCUACAAAACCUGAAAUUGUUGUUGCAAAUGAUUCAAUUAAGUUUGAUUUGAGGGAAGUGAGCAAUCAUAAGUCAACCGUUGAUGCCAAAUCCAGAGUUUCGUCACCGAUCUCCAACUCACCUUCCACCAUACCUCAUUCUUCUUCAAUUCCUCCAACUAAUUCUAGCUCAUCUGCCACUCCCAUGUCUGCAACAGGUAAAGUUGCUUCAGCGAUUGAGCCACCCAAAGCUCAAGCUGACUCAUUUUCUUGACUCCUCCUGCCAAUGCUCUCACUAGUUUUUAAGAAACCGGAAAAGGGAAAAAUUUGGGAUCGAAGCAAGAUUCAUUAUUUAAAUUUCGUCUUUCAUGCAGCAAUUUGGAUUUUGGGACUUCGCUGAUGGUUUCAUGUAUUUUUUAACAUAAAUAUGCAGCGCCAAAGAGAAAAAGGCCGCGACCAGUCAAGUACGAGGACGAGAAUCCAUCAGUUUAUCAUGUGCGGAAUAGUUCCAUUUCGUCGACAAUCAAGGUAGAUAUCGACCAGCCUCCCAAAAUCGAAACUUGUUCUCCCAACUUGGAUAAGAAUUCAGGAUCCGCAGCUGAAAAUGGCGUGGUUCCGCAUGAUACCCCAUCUAGUCAAGCUGUGCCGGUUCCUACAGAAGCACAGCCGCAGCAGGAGCAGGUGCAAGUGAUGUCUGAGAGUAAUCCGUUGUUGGAUUCAAAACACUGCGUGCAAGAAUCGGAGAGUAAGGAUUUAGAUGUGAGCAAAGAGGAGCCUCGAUCGCCGAAGAGAGAAUCUUCUCAAGUUGGUCUUAGAUUGGAUGAUCGUGAGAGUGUGACAGCGACUAAAGCGUGAGUAUCGAAAAAUAGAUGUCUUUGUUGUGAUUUCGAUGUUCUCAGUAAUUUCGAAGGAUGGGCUUUGAUUUUUUUUUUUUUUUCGGGGGGGGUUUAAUUUCAGGAUUUCGACGAUUUCUGAUGUUGAAACCCAGCGAGAAGAGAAGUUCCAGAUAGAUCUGAUGGUAGGACCUGUUUAGUAUUCUCAGCAUCAAUUUUCUUUCUGUGCAAUUCUGAAGGUCUUCUCUGUUUUUCUUCUUGAAUUUUGGUUACAGGCUCCACCUCCAGUAAGAUCAUCUCCAGAAAGGGACAGUGAGAUUGUUUCUGUGGCUGUAGAUCCUAAACCUGGAAUCACAGAUUUGGAAACGGUGAAUGGUCCCAACCUUUUCUGUCCAAUUUAUCACCAAUCAGUCCUGUUUGGUAUGUGACGUUAAUGGCGUUGAUAGUUGUUUCAUGUGCAGGAAAUGAAACCGGCCGUUAAGGAAGAAGAUAAGGCAGUGAAAAUGGGAAAAGAUGUGAACGUGGAACCGCAGGAGAAAAAGACAGAAGUGGUAGCCGAAGAAAUUGAAUCCCAUAAACCAAAUGUUAUUCUUAAUAAAGAGAGGAAUUUUGAUCUGCAACUUGAUUUAGAGAAAUCUGAUAAAGAUAGUGGCGUCGUUUCCGGAAGUGGUAGCAAGGCGCACCAACAUGUUCAAAAACAACUGCAGCAGCAGCAACCAAACACCGACAAAGCUGGUAAUUGGUGUUUUGAGUAGAUAUUUUUCCUUGUAGAGAAUAUUCUGUUCCCAUGAAAUAUUCUCAAACUGGAAUGCUGAUCUAGUUUCCUUUCCUUAUCCCCCAGCUCAAUCAAAUUCUCUUCCUCUACCCAUGUCAAUGGCUAGCUGGCCGGGUGGGCUUCCUCAUAUGGGGUAUGGGUUUUUCUGGUUUUGUUCUUUUGACCUUUUCCUCUUUCCAUUCCUACUCCAUCAAUGCUUUAGGUUCUCUUCUCUGGGGAUUGACACUUGUAAAAUCGGCAGAUAUAUGGCACCUUUACAAGGAGUUAUAUCCAUGGAUGGAAGCGCUGUAGCUUCUGCAGCUAUACAGGUAACGCUCCUCGUUUCUUUUUACUUGAGUCUUGGGUUUCUUUCUCUGAAUCUUCUCUCACGUAUAUGGUCUUUCUCAAUUCCUUUUGUUUUUUCUUUUUAUCUCUCAUCUACAAUUUUUGCAGCCUCCGCAUUUGCUUUUUAGUCAACCAAGGCCGAAGAGGUGUGCAACGCAUUACUACAUUGCACGGAAUAUUCAUUAUCACCAACAAUUUACAAGGAUGAAUCCUUUCUGGCCAGCGGCAGCUGGUUCUGCUUUACAAUUUGGGGCAAAGGCCUGCAAUGUCAAUGUGGUUCCAUCUACAGAUUUCCAUUCCAGUAAGGGUAUGAACUCUGCGCAAGACAAGGGUCAUGGUCUGGCCAUCUUUCCUGGUCAUACUGGGAAAGAGAAGAGCUCUCAAACUUCAAACGUUAUAGACACUGCACAGAGAAAGCAGAUUUUGCUUCAGCAACCUCUAGCCCCAGGAGCACCUAGCAAUAUCUUGGUAAGCUUUCCUUUCCCCAGUUGGAGUAUUUUUAACAGAGGGUUUGAAUUUCUUUUAUAACUGUUGCUUUUCCUUCUUGUUGAAUUUCAGCAUGGGCCUGCCUUUAUCUUCCCUUUGAACCAGCAGCAGGCAGCAGCAGCUGCUUCUGUCCGUCCUGGGUCAGUAAAGUCUCCUGUCACAGGUAGCACAGCUUCAUCAAGCGCCUGUAAUUCUGCCUCUAUCAGUGCUGCCACGACAGCUGUUGCUGGUGCCACAACAAUGAGCUUCAACUACCCAAAUAUGUCAGGCAAUGAAACCCAGUACUUGGCAAUUUUGCAGAACAGUCCAUAUCCAAUACCAAUUCCUGCACAUGUAGGUGCGACGACAACUUAUAGAGGAACCGCUCCUCAGCCAAUGCCUUUCUUCAAUGGUUCUUUUUAUUCGUCUCAAAUGAUCCAUCCUCCUCAGCUUCAGCAACAGCAGCCACCUAUGCCGCACUCUCAACAAGGCCAGCAGGUUCAUCAGAACUCGAGCAUUUCUAGUGGUUCCUCAUCAUCCCAGAAGCAUUUGCAGAACCAGCAGCAGAGGCUGCAUGGCAGUGGCAUUAAUAGUGGUAGUGGAAAUUUGCACGGCUUUCCCAACUCAAAAAACCAGCCACCACAGUCAUCCCAGCUUCAGCAGCGGCAUCAGAUGCAGAACCAGAAUGUCCCUCAUCAAGCUCGGCAACUUGACAGUGAAUUCGGUGGUGAAGAUAGCCCUUCUACUGCUGAUAGUCGAGUCUCUCGAACAAACAUGAGUAUUUAUGGUCAGAAUUUCGCAAUGCCCAUACAGCCGCCAAAUUUUGCUUUGAUGACUCCACCAACUAUUGGAGGUGCCAGUGCCAGUGGCAUUCCAGCUGAAAAGAAGCAGCAGCAGUCACAGCCACAGGGUUCAAAGGUUGGGAUAGAACCUUCUCAGGCUUUUGCCAUGUCAUUUGCCUCCAUUAAUGGAGCUGCUACUUCUUCCAGCCUUGAUAUUUCAGCAUCUGCACAAAAUCAUGCUAUCCUGCAAAGUCUCCCAGAGGCUGCAAGGCAUGGAUAUCACUUCAUGGCAGCUGCUGCAGUUGCCCAAGCAGCACAGCAGAAGAAGAAUUACCGUGUUUCUGAAGAAGGGAAAACCGGGGGAGCUGAUGGUUCUAAUGUAGAAGAAGAGAGAAAGGUCAUACCUGGAGGAAAGGCUCAGUUAAAUUCUGGGCAAUCAAUUGCAUUCUCCAGGCCCGAUUUAACAGAUACAUCUGUUUCCACCAUUCCUGUCAGUACUGUGAUUGAUAGCUCAGCGCGAACUCUUAACCUUGGGUCUGCUUCUGCACGGGUCACUGGUUCUGCCAUGCCAAGCUCUAUCAGCACCAUAAAUGCUUCUAAUGUGCAACAACUGCAGCGGAAUCAGCAGCAGCAGCAGCAGCAGCAGCAAAUUAUUCAGCUUCAAAAGCAGCAACAAUUUGCAGUUGCAGCAGCUGCUUCUGCUUGGAGCAAAACACCAGCAACAAGUAAUGGAAGUGUGUACACAGAUCACAUAUCUUCUUCUUCCUCAAUGGCUGGCAAGUUCCCAAAUUCAUUAUCUGGAUUCCCUUCCAUUCUCGUCCAGAGCAGCAGUAGUCCAGCUCAUUCUCCACAGUGGAAGAAUUCUGUUAGGACCACCACUUCCCAGGUUCCUUCCCCAUCUAUUUCCUCCACUUCAUCAUCCUUAAAAAACCUUCCCCAACAGCAGGGCCGUGUCCAGCAAGGCCAUGCACAGAUAUCAUUUGCAUCCAACCCAAAACCAUCAGCUGCGCCUCAAGGGCAAUCAGCUCCAAGUAGUACCCAAUCUCCUUCUCCUCCAGUGGUAGUUGGCUCUCCAACAACUUCCUCAAUUUCUAAGGGUGCUGGUGGGAGCCCAAGGACGACCUCCACUUCCGCAACUAACAAAGGAGCGCAAUCAUCAAUUCUGUCAUCUCAGCAGGGCAAGAACUCGUCAGUGCCUACACAAAAAUCACCUCCAGUUGGUGGGAAAAAUAUUCCUUCAAUUCUCGGCCAUCCCCAUAAUUCCCCCUCUACAUCUAGCUCUGUUACCAAGCCUCAGUUGACACCGCAGCAGCAGCAGCAACUACAUGCAUUGCAGCAGACCCAGAUGCUAUACAAUGGUAGUUAUAUGCAAGCCCAGGUUCAACAUGCUGCGAAUUCAACACAUACAACAUCAGUAGCAAGUGGACUUUAUUUCCAAAGGCACCGCAGUGAUCAACAGCAACAACCACAGGUCUCAUCAGCUGGGAUGUUGUGUUCUCCUGUGUCAGUUCCCAACACCAUCACUACUGAUCCUGCAAAGGCAGUGGCUGCUGCAACAGCCGCAAGCAAUAUGAAAGGUGGUGGCUUACCUUCGCAAGGUCUUAUCCAUGCUCAGUUUUCUGCUGCACAGACUACUGGGAAGCCACAUCUUGUCCCUGCUGGCUUCCCUUAUGUUCAUGCUGUUCAGGUGAAGCCAGCAGAGCAGAAACAACCUGCUGCAGAGUAGAAUCCUGUCUCAUGUACUUGGCAAUCCCCAACACAAGAAGCUAUGAGAGCAAGUGAAGCUGAACAAUUGGUGGAUGGGGCUUGUGCACCCUUGUGGUAAUGAGAAGAACUGAGAGAAGUGAUGAAUGUUCAAGGAAGCAUGCCUUUCAGGUUAGACCCACAUUUUUGAGAAGGAAGUUGAGAAGGUGGGA
RNAcentral lists this long non-coding RNA (73475 nucleotides) under Manihot esculenta (cassava). RNAcentral describes it as "long non-coding RNA (MESC_LNC008837)". The record is from RNAcentral. Lineage: Eukaryota; Viridiplantae; Streptophyta; Magnoliopsida; Malpighiales; Euphorbiaceae.